Molecule: long non-coding RNA, 54438 nt
Filed under: Vigna radiata
Lineage: Eukaryota; Viridiplantae; Streptophyta; Magnoliopsida; Fabales; Fabaceae
Description: long non-coding RNA (VRAD_LNC007614)
Source: RNAcentral
UUUUUUUUUUUUUUGAGUUUUUGGAUGAGUGUAAUAUAACAGUUUUAUAAUACUUUGUUUAGUAGUUUUGUCUUAUUAAAUGAGAUGUUAUAGUAUCUUAAAUAAUUUAAAGAAUAUUUUUGUUUGAUUUUUUCAAACCAAGUUGUAGUAACUUAAUUUAUAAUUUAUACCAAAUGUUAUGGUUAAAAAAUAUAAUUUGUUUAUUUUUAUUUUUAUAUUAUAAUUUAAUAUUUUUAUUAUACUAGAUAUUUAAGUUCAAUUUCCCAACUACAUUUUUUCAAUGUUUAUAUUAUUAUGCAUUUUUAUUAUUUCAUGCGUUUGCAUCCAUCUCUACAUUUAAGUUUGAAAUUAAAAAAUAAAGAUCAAAGUUACUUAUCUUUGUAAAUAGAAAAUUAAAACUAGUAAAAAAUGUAAAAAAUAAAAAGUUCACAACUAAUUAUUUUCAUAAAAUUUCAAACACGUGUUAAAUAAAUGAUCAAGAAAUAACAAUUUACAAUUCUAAUCACUUGAUUCCCAAUUAUGUUAAAAGGCCCAUGACAUCAUUCUUUACAUUUAAAUUAAUUCAAAAAUUCAAAUUAAAAUUAUUUACCUUUGUAAAUAAAGAUUAAAAUUAUAAAAAAAUAUAUUCACAAUUAAUUAUUUUCAUGAAAUCUAAAACACAUAAUAAAUGAUCAUUUAAUAAAAGAAAUAACAUUUUAUAAUUCUAACAACAUAAUUCUCAAUUAUAUUAAAUCAAAGUAUAUUCAAUAUAUUAAAGAUAUUACAUGUUUACUGAGCUAACUCGGUUUAAAUAACAUCCACCCCAGACACCUUCCUUCGCUGGACAUUUUUCGAUUCGUAAGACAAAACUUUAAUCUCAUUUCUAGUAAUGUAUUUUAGAUUCUGUGCAUUCUACCAGCUUGUAAAUACAAGACAAAUAAAUAAAUUUGAAAUAAUUCAAGAGAGUUUUUAAGAGUGAUAAUUGAGAAAAAUAAAUUAAUUUCAUAUCUUUCCAAGCUAAUUGUAUCUUUUUUCUAUUAAAUUGUGUUUAGUGUCUAAUUUUUUUUAUGACAUAUUUGAUUUACAGAGUAAAAUUCUUUGAUUUUGUAAAUGUGUUAAUAUAGUGAUUUUAGCUAUUAUUUGAGUGUAAUUCUAAUUUUGAUUAAUUUUAACUUAGUAAACAAUAUAAUUCACAUUUUAAUUCCUAGUUAGUGGAGAUUGAUAAUUGUUCUUUGAAUUCUACUGCAUUAAAGUGGAAACUAGGAUUUUAUUGUGUUGAGAGUUUGUUAUAAGUGUCAUUUCAAUUUAAUGAUUUUAACUAAUAAGUUCUUUUAUUAAUAAUUUUUACUAAUUAACGAGCUUUUGAUUUUGACCGACUUUCUAACUUUGUUUCUAUUUUGCAUGUGAUACUUACUACAUAGUAUUACAACUACGUGGUAUUUUUUACUUAAAUAAUAAUAAAAAAAUAUAAAAUACUAUCAAGUAAUAUAUGACUAAAUUGAAUGAAUUUUUAAGAAAAUACAGCUUAAUUGAAAAAAAUAUAUUUUAUUACAUAAAUGAGUUCUAAGAAUAUCUACAUUAGAAUCAUACUGGUAAACAAUUAUUUUACUGAUAUUCUAAGAAUAUUUCUAUUUCAAUACAAAAUUAUCAUUCGAACAUUUGAAUUUUCAUAUUAGACUUCUAACUUGCAAAUAAUAUUUUCAUGCAUAAAAGAAAAUUAUCUCUUAUUACUCAAAAUAGCAAUACAAAUUUCUCUGUAUCCAUCACACUUACUUCUAGAUUACAUAUAUUAUAAUCAUAUCUAUAAUCUCAAGAUCAUCAAGUUACGACAGAAUUAACUUUACUGACUCUCUAAAUAUCAUGAUCUUUUAUAUUAUACUGUUUUGUAAACUUUUCUUUCAAUUCUCACCAUUUAAUUAUUUUCUUCUAUAUAAGUUAAAUAAUAGUGAAGUUAAAAUAGUCUCACGUAAUAACAAAUUUCAUUCAAUAUACUUUACACUCUAAUUAGUAGUAUUUUUUUCUUAAAAAUAGCUACUCAAAUCUCAUAGCAUCAAAUUUGAUAUAUACUAAAUAUUUUCUCUUAAAAAUAACUACUGAGACUGAAAUUUAAUAUCAUCACACUCAACAAAAUUUACCAAAUCCUAUGUUUUAAUUUGAAUGCAUUUUCACGCACUAAGAUACUGUAUUCAAAUUACAUAUAUCAUUAAUUGCUUAAAUUCAUUUACAUUAAAACAGAUUAAAUGAAUCUUAUUCUAUGGAGGUCUAACAAUUCUAUUUAAUUAUUUUAACUUAUACUUAUUUCAUACUUAUGAUAAAGUUGUAUUGAAAGUGUGAAAUUAUUAAGAUUUUAUAUUUAUUAAAUAAUAAAUAUUUGUAUUAAAAUUGAUUAUAAUUUGUGGUAAUUGUAAAAUAAGAAAUGAAUAAUUGUUUAGCAACUUUUAACUUGAAUUUUUUUUUUUCACAAAUAAGUAGUUGGCACGAUAUAUUAUCUGUAGUUAACUUUGUGAAAAAAAAAUAAAAUAAAAAGACAAGUGCGUCAUUGGUGAUGUGAUUAAAUAAUUAAAAGUUCUUCUUAUUUUAUUUUAAAGGUAUGUGAAAAAUGGAUUUAAAAAUGCAUUAAUUUUUGUAAAAGAUUUCAAAAUGGAUAUAUAAAAAAAACAUAUAAAUAGUAAAAAGAAAUAAUCAUUUUGUAAAAAUGUUGAAAAUAAAAUUUUAAAAUCUUCUUAACAAUAAUUUAUAAUAGAUUAAUUUCUAAUUUUCUCUACAUAUAUAAAACAAUUAUCUAUUUGAACCAUUUAAAUUAUAUGAAUAUAUUUUUAUUUAAUAUUAAAAAAUCAAAGCCACUGCAUAAUAUAGUUUUCAAAAAAGAAAAUGGGAUAUUGAUAGAUUACAUUUUUUUCCCAGAAUUAAACAGAUUAGAAAAUAAUAAAUCAAUUUACCUUUUUAAUCAUAUAAGAAUAAAUUAUUUUCUAAAUACAUAUAGAGUUCAUAUAAUAGUUUUAACGAUUCCAGUUGCUUUAAAAGUAAUAAAAUUUUCAAAACAAUAAUUAAUGAAAACUAAAAAUCUAAAUAGAAUUACAAUUAACUAUCUUAUUACUUAAAACAACUCAUUCUUUGAAAAAGUUUAAAAAUCAAUCUUAAGCCAUUUUUGGUGAAUCAAUGAUAAUUUUUGAUGAAUUAGUCUAUUUUAACUUUCUAAUUAUGGAUUAUUUUUGUCUUUAUUAUUUCAAUCACAACUCCAACAUUGAAAGUGGUACCCUACCAAACUAGAUGGUUUUGAAAUUGUUCAAAUUGGUCAACUAUCUCAAUAAGACCAACCUUGUUAUUCUAUAUUAUUUUAAAACACAAUAUAAAAUCAUGUUCAUACAUACUUUCAUGAAAUUAGGAAUAAAAAAAGUUAAAUCAGUACAUCUAAAUUUAUUCAUUUAAUAAUUUAUUAAAAUGUUUUUUUUUAAACUGAAUAUAUAUGAGUUUAUUUUAACUGUAGAGUGGUUUUUUACUCUUCAGAAUCUAAGAGGAAAAAAUAAUUAUAAAUGUAUUGGUUGAAGGUCGAACAAAGCUUUUUCUUUAUCUUAUGAGGCUUUCAAGCUACUUCAGAUGUAUUUAAUAUUUUAUAUAACCUAUUUUAAAUAAUAACAAAAUUGGUAUAAUAAAAAUCAUUAUCCACAGUUUGAUGUAUCGACCGUCAUAGAAAACAUGGUCAAAACUUUGACCAAUUACUUAUUUUGAUGUUUGAUUUUCAAUGACUUGAGAUGUGGGAAACUAGGAAUAUUAACGUGUUAUAAUUCUAUGACUAGGCACUUUCAAGGAAAAAAUCUUUAUAUAAAUUAAUAUUUAUAAAAUAACCAAUUUAAACAAUAUUUUAUAAAGGGAAAAAAGUCACUGUUAUUUAUCAAAGUAGAAAAUAAUGAAAGAUUAAUAUUGUGUCUAAUUUACUUCUUCAUAAGAAAACGGGCAUGUCGUUCCUUAACUUUCUUUUAAAUUUAAAUUAUUUUAGAAAACUAUUCAUAUGUUUAUUAUUACUAUUUUCGUCUUCAAUGUAUUUUUUAAUUUUAAUUAUAUAAAUUAGAAUAAUGAUAUUUAAACAACAUUUUUUUAAUAAUAUUUGAAUAUUGAUUACGUGUCAAUAUGUGAUUGGUCGUAAAUUACUCCAUAAUAGUGUUUAUGAUUAUUAUUAUUGAUUAUGGAAUAAUUUACGACUAAUCACAUAUUGACAUGUAAUCAAUGUUCAAAUAUUAUAAAAAAAAUGUUGUUUAAAUAUCAUUAUCCUAUAAAUUAAUAUGUUCUUGCUGCAUCUGAAAUCUUGUAUGACUCUAAUAAUAAAUUGAAUACAAAGCCAAAAUUUUGACCAAGUGAAUUUUCUGAAUUUAGCGAAAGAUAUUCUUUGUUGGUAAAAUAAUAGGUAAGAUGUUGUUGAGUAGUAUAUGUUCUCUUGGCUUGGAAUAAAAGAUAGAUAGAAGAAAAAGUGUUGGCAUUGUCAUCUCUUAGAAGGUUGAUUUUGACCAUUUGGUGGCCUACCAUUUACAAUCCUUUUUUUACUUUAUACUAAAUGACUAAAGUGUGCAAUUGAUAUAUGUGUGCAUUGUAACACUUACAUUUUUCUUUAGGUAAUUUUUAAAAUAAUAAAAAUAAAAAUUUUACAAAAUGAUUAUUUAUAUUCAUUAUUUAUUUUAAUAAAAUUCUAUUUUUUAAAAAAUUUCAUUCUCUUUAAAAUAUUUUUAAAAUUCCAAAAUUUGAAAAAUUACUUACUUUAAAUUAACUUAUACCACGAAGAAGAUAAUAACCGGUGAAUUAAGGUGGUCAGUUACUUUUUUUUUUCAUGGUAAGAGUUUUAGUCUUUAUUAUAGAUUUAACUAUAUUUUUUAUAUUUUGAGAUUUUGAUUAGGGAGAAGGUUAAUAAUUUAGAGUUUUGAAAGUUUUAGUAAUACAAUGAGCUUCUAAAAUAAGAAAAAAAAGUUUUACUGGUAAUAUAUAUAUAUAUAUAUAUAUAUAUAUAUAUAUAUAUAUAUAUAUAUAUAUAUAUGAUCUCAUAGUUUUUAACUAUUGAGUAACUUAGAAAGUUCAAGAUGAGUAUUGGUGGUUAUUUUAAGGUUUAAUUUCUUGAUUUUUAUUUUGGUUAAAAAGUUAAGUUGAUGUUUGUUAAUAUUUUUGUUACAAGUGCGUUCUAAUUUUUGAAAAAACUAUCUCAAUUAAGUAUUAAAGAAAUAAUUGCAUUAACAACUUGUCAUUUGUUAAUUUAUAAUUAAAAGAAAAUUACAUAUUUUUUGUUGUUCAUGUCAAGUUCACAGUGAUAUUGACAUUGUCACACAAGAGAAUAAUGUUAUGUGUUAGUGUCAAUAUCAAAUAUUAAGUAUCAUUGUUUUGAUUUUAAUUUAGUUUGUUUAUUUGAUUCAAUUUAAUUUCAAUUCUUUUUUAAGAUGAAGAUUAUUGUCUUUCUCUAAAUUAAGACUAAAUUUAUUUUUUUAUAAAUGUUACAAUGAUAUUUUUAUCAAAAAUGAUUUUUGCACAUGUUAAAUUAUUAGGUAUUAGUAAUCCAUGUUAAGAUUAAAACUAGUUUAAGUAUAAAUAUUUUUACAAAAAAUAAUAUUUAAAAUAAUAUAUUAUUAGUCCAUUUUUUUAUAAGAAUAAAUUAAUUAAUAACAUUUAUACAAAUAAUAAAUCUAGUUUUUUUUUUAAUUAAGACCAAAUUUCUUAUUUGUAUAAAUGUUACUAAUAUUUAUAUUAAAAUUUAUUACAAAAACAUGAUUAGCAAAACAUGUGUUAAUAAUAUACAAUGUAAUAUGUUAAAAAGUCACAACUUUUAAAUAUGUUUUUAGUCCCUAUACUUUAGAACGAUUUUGGUUUUAGUCCCUCUUUCAAACUAUAGUACAAUUUAGUCCUUCAACUUUAGAAAACUCUGAUUUUAGUCAUUUUUACCAAUUUUUUUUAACUUUAUUUGCUAUUUCAAACGCGUUUCUUAGUUAACAUUGAAGCAAAAAUGUAUCAAAUAGUGUAAACAAUCCAAAUGCUAUAAUGAAACGUGCUUGAAACAACAAAUAAAGUUAAAAAAAAUUAGUAAAAAGGACUAAAACCAGAGUUUUCUAAAGUUGAAGGACUAAAUUGUACUAUAGUUUGAAAGAGGGACUAAAACCAAAAUCGUCCCAAAGUAUAGGGACUAAAAACAUAUUUAACCCUAAUAACAAAAAUAUCAGUAUAACAUUUAUACAAAUAAUAAAUUUGGUUUCAAUUUGAAGUUGAACAAUAUUGUUCUAUUUUGAAAAACAUUGAGACUAAAUAAUCAAACAAACACAUAUAAAGACUAAAUUGAAAUCAAGACAAUGACUCUGAUAGUGGCAUUAUCCUGUCACAUGGUACCGGUGUCAUGUGUCACGUAGAGACGUAAAGACCCAACACGUGGACAAAAAAAAAUCACAAAUUGACACAUGACACAUUAUUAAUGUUGUUUAUAUUUUUUUUAAAGAAUUUAAUUGAGACACAUUUUCAAAAAUUAGGAUGCAAUUAAAACAAAAAGUUAUACGAGUAACAAGUUAAAACUUUCUAACCAAAGUGAAGAUCAAGCAAGUAACUAAGCCUAUUUUUAAUAAGUAUACAUUCCACUAAUUUUAAAAAUAUGCUUAAACUUGAUAAGAUAGUUAGAUGGUUAGUUUUUGUUCCUAUAUGAGUUAUAAUUUUGUUGCAUAAUUUUUUUUAGCAAUAAGUUGUUGUUUGAGUUUAUCGUUUAAGUGUUGAUAAAAUAUUAAAAAGAUAUGAAUUCUUACUUAAACGAUAUUACAUAAUUUGAGCAAGAAAAAUCUAGUAAUAUUUUUCUAUUAUUUUUUGUUCUUCACUUAAGGGUAGUCACUCCAACAAUACUAUUGGCUUAGAUAUUUUUUAAUUUGAUAUUAGAUCACAUUCUUAAUUUAAAUCAAAUAUUAAUUCCUGAUAACAGUGUGAUUAACAAAAGUCUUCCAAGACGUCUUUGUGUUAUUCUUUUUGUGUUGAUCUAGUGAAAAUGAUAAUAAAUAGAAUUAAUUAAAGAAAGUCUUAAAGUAAAUGAAAAUAUUUUAAGUUGUUGAUACUAACAAAUACAUUAGAUUUUGUUUAUAAUAAUCUAUCUUUCUCUUAUCAUAUUUAAAAAUUGUUAUAAUUAUAUAUUUUAUAUAUAAAAUAAUAUAUAUAGAUGUUAUAUUAUAUUGUAUUGUAUGAUGAUCAAUGAAAAUAAAUAUAUAAAAUAAAUAAAAUAUAGCAAUUAAGAAUUGCAUUUAAAAUAGUUGACUCUUUAAAAAUAAAGUAAAAAAAUGAUGUAUUUAUUAUUCAUUCAGAGUCAAAUAGAUUAUAAGUUAUAAUUUAAAUAUGUUUUUAUUUUUCACAUCAAAAUAACUUAUUUGGUGUUUUCAUGAGAGUAGGCAUAUAUAUAAUAAAUUAUGCAAUUAAUCUUAACAGUUGACUUUUGAUGAAUAACUACACAGCUAUUAUUACAAAUUCUUAAUUCACUCAAUUUUUUUGUGGCGUUAAUUGGAAUAGAAGAACUGAUAUUUUAAAUAUUCAUAAAGUAAGUAAUUGAAGUGUAGAAAAAAAGAAGAAGAAAUAUUAGUAUUGGCAGAAAAAGGGGAAUAUUAGAAUAAUAAAAUGAGAUGGUGAAAAAAAGUUGAAGCAUUGGAAGGAAAUGAAGGAAGAGGAAAGUGGAAAAGAAAGGUAUCUGAUUCGUUUGGAGAGAAAAACAAAGAAAGUGGGAAGUAAGAGUAGACUCAGUCAAUUUGUAAAUUUCUAAAAAAUCCAAACUCAUCAUUCAUUUUCAUUCAUUCCAAUCUUAGACACGCACACAACGAGGCAAUCUUUUCCCUUCUCUUCUCUUCUCUUCUAUUCUAUUCGAUAAUAUUAUUGUUUUUUAGUUUAACUGAAUAAUGGUAAUAGUUAUAAUUUUUUUUUUUUCAGUUUUAACCUUCUUUGCCGUACCACAAAGUGGUGGGUGUGGGUAGGUAUUCCUGUGGAUGCACAGUGCAGACUGAACAAACAAACACAGCGAAGAUCCCUAUGAAAAUUGUUUCGAUUUCUGGAUCAAGCUCAAAAUUUGAAGAUAACCAAGGUCAGCAAACAUCCCAUGUUUUCCUUCUCCUCUCUGCUUCUUCUCUCUUUUCUACGUUUCAUUCUCCAAAAUCCAUGUUUUUUUUUUUCUCUUUCCUAGUUCCUCUUUUGUUUCUCUCUUGGAUUCGCCAUAACUGUUCCUGAUUUGUGUGCUUUCAGAUACCCUUUCCCCCCAAUUGAAGUAAAACUCAUCCGUUCAUUUCAGAAUUGUUUGUUCUGUAAGAAAGGAAUCUGCUUGAGAUUAGCUGUGGGGAUUGGGGAAAGGUGGGAAAUGGAUGGGGGAGAGGAUCAGUUUUAUGAUACUCGUGAGGAAUUGUGUUCUGUCUCUGAUGGGGGUUCGGAUUGUUCAGAGUCAGAUGAAUCUAGUUCUGGUAACAACGGACAUGUUACUAGGCACAAGGUUUGGGCAAAGGACCUUGGAAGUGUUAACCAGAGACGCCAGAAUUUCUUGAGAUGGAUGGGUUUGGAGUCUGAUUUGAAUUAUUCAACGAAGGGAGUGGAGUUUCAAGAUCAACCUUGUGGGAUUGACCGAAUCACUGCUACAAGUGGGGCGGUUUUGAGGACUUCUCUUGCUGUUGAGGAGGGUCUUCCCUCUACCUCAAACCAGAUUGUGUUGGAUUCCUUGUCUGGUGAGGCUUCCGGUUCCCGAGAAAAUCGCGAGAAUUCGGCGUGUAUGAUAAGGAAUUUGGAUGAUGGAACACGGUAUAUUGUGGAUAAGCUGGGUCAGGAUGGAACUCUUAGUACACUGCGUGUUUUGGGUUCGAACCAAUUGAUUAGCUUGGAGGAGUUUCAGAGAAAUACUGGGCCUUCAUCGAUGGUUCGCAGACAUUUGCAGAGAGAUGCUGAAAACACAAGGUUGUUAGGAGUUGGAAAAAGAAAAAUGAAGAGGGGUUGGCUAAAGAAACUGGAUUCUAUUGCCUGUUUUGUUAAUAAUCACGGGUUUGAUGAAACUAAGUGCAAAGACUGUGAUUCAGUGGAUGGAAGUGGGAUACAAAGAGUUCGAGUUCAUUCUUAUAGGAAGCGGUUUAAGGAACUUUCCUCCCUUUACACGGAACAGGAGUUUAAAGCACAUAAGGGUGUUAUUUUGACAAUGAAAUUCAGUCUUGAUGGAAAAUAUCUGGCUAGUGGUGGUGAAGAUGGCAUGGUACGUGUGUGGAAGGUGGUUGAGGAUGAGAGAUCGAGUGAACUAGACAUUCUGGACAAUGAUCCAUCAAAUAUAUAUUUCAAAAUAAAUAAUUUUUCAUGUAUUGCUCCCCUUGGUGUAGAUAAAGAAAAAUUAGUCAAAACGGAGAAGUUGAGAAGAUCCCCUGAAGCAACCUGUGUGAUUAUCCCACCAAGGACCUUCCGUAUAUCGGCAAAACCCUUGCACGAAUUCCAAGGUCACAGUGGUGACAUUUUGGACCUUGCUUGGUCCAAAAGAGGGGUUAGUUUCUCCCAUAGAAAGCAAGCUAUUAUUAUUUUCUUAUAUUUUGCGCUAUCUUUAAACUUGCAUAUCAUUUAUUUUUCUAUAAAAUUGAACUUACUGUCGUAUAUAUUCUUCUUUAUAUGUUGCAGUUUCUACUGUCAUCCUCUGUUGAUAAGACAGUGCGCCUAUGGCAUGUGGGAAUUGAUAGAUGUCUUAGAGUUUUUCCCCACAAUAAUUAUGGUGAGUGUGUAUUCAAUAUUAGUUGUUCUGUAAUGUGUUCCUCUAAAUUUUUCAUAUUUUUGCUGAAUAAUGGUUUCUUACUUUUACCUUUGAUGCAGUGACAUGCGUCAAUUUCAACCCCAUCAAUGAUAAUUUUUUCAUCAGUGGCUCAAUUGAUGGAAAAGUGCGUAUCUGGGAAGUUGUUCACAGUAGAGUUAGUGAUUACAUUGAUAUCAGAGAGAUAGUCACAGCCGUGUGCUUCCGCCCUGAUGGAAAGGUCUGUUUCACUAUACAUUUAACGGUGGAAAUUUGUGCUGGAAAGUAUGUUCUGCUUUGUUCCUCAAAUUUGUUUUCUUAUUCUUCCAGGGUACAAUUGUGGGUACCAUGGCAGGCAAUUGCCGUUUCUACGAUAUCCAAGGUAUGCACGUAUUUGGCUCGAUAACUGUUUGGAUCUCCUGUGAUCUUUAGCCACCCAAACAGAGAAACAUAAAUGGCUUCAUGAAAGCAUAUUCAGGUUAUUGGUUUGUUGGUUCAUGUGUACAUUUAGUGUCAGUGAUAUUAGUUGUAUAUUGCUCUUUGUUCUGUAUAUAUACGCCUUGUUCUUAGGCCUGCAGGUCAAUAUUACUUUGAAUAGCUCCAUUAUAUUGAGGAUUGGAUGAACAUAUUUUGUUGAUGUCCAUUUUUCCUGGAUGUGCUUUUAUAUUUUUAUCCCUUUUAAGGAUUAAUUAUCCUCCUUCCCCUUUUUUGUGUUUUUCUCCCAGCCUUAAUACAUCUCUCUUCUCUUACCAAAAAAUACAAUAAAAUUAUGAACUUACACUGGUUGGACAAAAAACUAUGAGGUCGAUGUGCAUAUGGUCAAACUUUGAAUUACUAUUUGAUUAUUUUGAUGUUAUAAUCUGCCUGUAGUAUAUAGAACAGAGUCCACACUUAAACCAAUGAUCACACAGAGGAUUAUGAGUGGCAGCUUUUAAUGAUCUUCAUAUUGUUGAAUUCUCUUGUCUAGAUAAACAUCUGCAAUUGGAUGCUCAGUUGUGUUUACGAGGAAAGAAGAAGACAUCAGGGAAAAGGAUCACUGGCUUUCAGGUUGUUUACUUCUCUCACUCUUUUUCUGGUUUGGAAUUUGCUUUUCUAGGACAUCCUACACAAAAUUAUUGAAUGCUGAUCAUUAAUCAUAUCGUAUAUGAUUAAUUUUUGCAGUUUUCACCAACUGACCCAAGCAAAUUAUUGGUUGCAUCUGCUGAUUCACAUGUCUGUAUACUUUCUGGAGAUGACAUAAUCUACAAAUUCAAGGGUAGGUUUACACAUGUUUUCCUUAUCUGAAAACUCUUUCUGAAGUGCAUCCCAUCCGUAUGCCUGAUUCCUCUCUUGCUACAUCUUUUUAAGUAGGACAAAGCUUACAUACAUAGAAACUCGUAGUGCUGUUCUGGAAUAAAAAUUAGAGGUUUAUAUCACUCAUCUGCAUAUUAAGGUUUGCAUUAAAUAUCAACUUCGGUUACCAAAAUAGAGCUCCUAUUCAAAUUGGAGAACAGCACCAAAAACAUUCAAAGAGCUGAAAUCCCAUCUACAUUUCUUCCUUUUUAAGUAUCAGAAGCAAGCAUUACUAUAUUGUUGUAUUUAGGAAAUAUAGUACAUAAAUUAUUACUUACUCCUCUUCUUUGCCUGCAGGCUUAAGAAGUGCAGGUCAGAUGAAUGCUUCCUUCACCACUGAUGGGAAACAUAUCAUCUCCGUAAGUGAGGAUUCGAAUGUAUGCAUCUGGAAUUACAAUGGCCAUGAUAGGAGUAAUUCCAAAGCAAAGAAGAUUUGGUCUUCAGAGAGUUUUCUCUCCCACAACGCAGCAAUAGCUGUUCCUUGGUGUGGCAUUGAGUCAAUCCCAGGAACACUCUUAUCGCCGUCGCUAGGAGGGGAUGCAAAUCAGAGGUGUUCGCUGCCUUCGCCGGAUUGUUUCUUCUUGAGUCGCGGAUUUCUGUCAGAGUUGAUUCCAAAGGUUUCUGCAACGUGGCCUGAGGAGACACUUGUGGACUCAUGUCAAACACAAACUGUUGUUUCUCCUACAAUGUGUAAAUCAGAGUACAAGUUCUUGAGAAGUGCUUGCAAGGGAAUGUCUAAUUCCCACUUGUGGGGCCAAGUAAUUGUGACAGCAGGAUGGGAUGGAUACAUAAGAGUGUACCAGAAUUAUGGAUUACCUGUUCGUGGCUGAAACCAAGGUUUAGGCUCAUUAUCUGGGGCACUCCAAGGUUAGUUGCUAUGCUCAUAUAGCAAUAUAGGGUUCUUGCAUAGAGUGGAAUUUGCUACAAUGCAAAGAUUUUCUUUGUUUUCAAGUGUAGUAGUAGUAUAUAGCAGCCAGGGCAAUACUUCAGUACCUGAUUGGAGAUUGCCUUCACAUGAUAGUAUUCUUUAUACCAAGCCAAUAUCAAUAUAUGAUUCUUUAAUUUUUAAGGACUGUUGGUUAAGAGAAUUGUAAGUUUCAUUUUUGCUGAUGGUCCUAGUCGAGUUGUUGUAAUUCAUGACCAUGUGUAUAUACAGAGGAUUGUAUUCUAUCUUAAUUUAUACAAGAAUUUUUGUUUACAGAACCUGAAUUCAGGAAAUGCAAAAUGACUUUGUGCAUGUAUAAAUAAAUAGCCAGAAUGAAAAAACACAGAAGACUUUCAAUGCUGAAGUCCAUUUUGAACUGCUAUCCAAACAUGUGUUUCAUUGCCUGAAUGGUAGCAAAUUGUAGUAACUUGAUCAUAUUUAUCUUAAUUUUUACUUGAAAAAUCGUCAUAUAGAACAAAAAUGUCAUCAUUAUAUAUAGAUGAGUAUUGGAAGACAGAAUAAAUUGUUCAAAAAAAGAUUCUGAGGAAUGAAUGGUUUAAAAGUUAUAAUAGGGAUAAAAGUCUGUCUCUAACACUGAUUUCUGUCACAAAAACUUAACGAUCUUGUCACCCUUUUCUCCUUUUGGGUCUCUACCAUUUGUAGUUUUCAUUUUGAUGUGCAUAAAAUUCUUGUGUGAUAGUUGUUUUCCACUGCAAGCUUAUAAUGAGGAGACAAAUGUCAGUUGCAUAAAAAAAGCGAUUGCAUGUAAAGUAAUGGAUGAGACUGUUUUAAGCCACUGGUUUUACUUUCUAUAAGGUAUAAGUAUAAAAGAUUCUCGUGAAUUCAACAUUGCCCUAAUCUAAAAGUUUAUGGUUUAUCCUAUUGUUUAUGCUCACAUUGAAACUAUAGUGGCAGUCUUUGUUAUCAUCACUAUCAUUAUUGCAAUUAACUCAAACAAACCAAAUACUAAUUUUUUCAGAAGGAACACAAAAAAUUGGAAGAUUUUAUGUUGAAAUGACCUAAGUGAUGAAUAAAAAAGUAUAUGGUACUUUACAAUUCAGAUAUUUAAAUUUAGUUUCAGGUGAAUUUACUGUACAGAGAUGAGUCAGUUUGUGAAAUUAAAUUGAAAAUAAAUUAUUAGAAGUGAAACCCAAACUGACAAGAUAUAAAGAAGAUUUGUUUCUGUUUACUUCACUUAAUAUACAAUUUUAAUGCUAAACUGGGUGGGACUAAAAAUUUAAAAAUUCUUUACCGAAAUUUUAAUUUCAGAAUUUAGUUUAAUAUAUUUGUAGUAUUAAUUUAAAGAAUUAUAUUAUUAACAAAUAAAAAAUAAUUAUUAGUCUGACUUCUUAAACAAUUCUUAUAAAAACCUCAGAUUUAUCAUAUAUGAUAGUUUAAAAUUAAGUAAUACAAUGCAAAUUUGUUUUACGCGACUAUUUUUUUCUUAAUAAUUCCAAACCAAAUAAAAAAUGUAAUGUGAAUUACUUAAGUUAAUUUUAUCAUAGCAAUUAUUUGAAUUUAAAUUCCUAUAUUUAUAUAAGUAGUAUGAAAUAUGCAAUUCCUUGCAAAGACUUAGACUAAUUGACCAUCAUUUAAUGGGAUUAAACAUCCAUUUACACAAAUUUUCUCUAAUAAAUUAGAAAAUGAUGUGCAACGCGCUAUGAAACCAACCUACACCAAAGCAACAAUGCAAUGUGAUAACUAUUUAUAAUUAAUAAAGUAUUAAAUAAAAUUAAAGUUAUAACCAUUUUUAUGAAGAAAAAAAAUGUAUUAGGAUUGAUUUUCAAUGGAGUCCUCCUUCCCAACCAAAAAUUAGUUAUUUGAUCAUUAAUUAAUUGCCCAAAUUAGUGAUUAAAUAAUGUGCAUAGAAGAGCUGGAUGCGAAUAAAUAUCUAAAAUUGGGCCAUGUUGGACCAUAAAAAAGUGGGCCAGAAAGAGUUUGAUGAAAGGUUUUGUUCCUAUCAUAAGAUAUCAUGUGGAUAACCCUAUCAGAAUUGGAUCAGUCAUUCGAUGAAGUGCCAAAUCCAACACAACAUAAUCAUCCAAGUGGAUACUUUACCUUCCACAAGUUUUGAAAAAUAUUUAAAUUUAUUCAUUUUCAUAUUACUUAUGUUUUCAUAAUAUUUUUUUUUUCAAAUUUGCAUCAAUAUUGAUAUUUACAGUAGAUGAUGAUAACAAUACUACUAAUAAUAAUAAUAAAUAUACCUUAAUAGAUUGAUAUUAUUUUGGGAAAACCAUUUGGUGAGAAUUAUUAUUCCUAGCAUGUGUGAGUUAUGCGUUAUAGACUUUGUUCUUCACAAGCCAAAAAGUAUAUAAACAUUUUAGUUUAUUCAUUUGAGGUUAAUUUUGUGUGAAUUACUUAAAUCCCGAGUUGAAUCGGAUAAGCUCAAGCAUAAUUCUUAUCUAAAAAUAAGUUAUGCCAAAUCAAAACCUGCCAAGGAAUUUUAUUUUUUAAAAAAUUAGUAAUUUUUCAUUUCAAGGGUCUUGAUUUGUCUACAUUUUAUUUAUUUAUUUAUUUAUUUAUUAUUAUGAUAGUUAUGAAAGUAUAUUAUUAGAUAUUUUUUGUGAGGUCAGCCAUGUGGUUUGGUGCUUUGAAUUGAAGUUCUUCUUUCAAUCAUACAGAAACACUCAGGUUCGGAUCAUGCACACAAAAGAGGAUAUUGUUAGAUUUCCUAUAUCUAUUCAUUGGAAAAAAAAUAUCAUUUAUUCACUUAAUUGCAUAAUGGAAAGAAAAUGUAUAUAUUACAGUGUUACACAUGACAUUUGUAAUAUUUUAAAUAAGAUAAAGAAUAAUUUUUAAGAUAAAAAUUAAUCAAAAAUGAAAGUAUUAAAUGUGAAGUAUACAAUAAGAUUAGUUUAGAGUCACACCUUACAUUUCAUAAUGAUAUGAUAUGUGAUUAUUUUAACAUUUGUAUGUAUAAUAAUAGGAUAAUGACAACGGUUAUACAUUACAAUAUUCUGUUUAUAAAAAAAAAGAAGAAGAAGAAGAAGCAAUAUUUUGUUUAUACAAACUCAGUCUUAUGUGUUUUGUUGUAUGUUACAACGUUUCGAUAAAAACAGACUGACUUUUAAAUAAAUAAUUAGUAUAUUAUAUUAAAAGUUUGAUGCUGUAUAUUUUAUACUUUAGAAACUUCAAAUCCUUUAUAUAUAUAUAUAUAUAUAUAUAUAUAUCUAUAUCAUUAUGUACUUUCUUAUUAUGAUAGCAUUUUUUUGGGGCGUUAUUUUCCAUACAUAUUAUAGCCCUAGUAGAACAGUAUACAACUGCAUCUUUCCAUUAUGUUUGCUAGAACAGUAUACAACUGCAUCAUUUUGAUAUUAAAUAUUUAAUAAUAUUAUGUUUUUUUUACCGAAGUUUUUAUUAUUUUAUAAAAAUUAAUUAAUUGAUAUUGAAAUAAUAAGAAAACAUUUAUGGGUAAAGACAAGUAGGAGUGUAUACUCGUGGAGAUGAGAACAUAGGAUAUCAAUUUUAUAUUCAUUGAAUUUAGAUUUAGGGAUAAGAUAAUUUUUUUUUUUAAGUAAUAACGAAACUCGUUCCGUUCCCGUUGUCAUUAAGCAAUUUUUUUUUAAAAUAAAAACAUUAAAGGAUAAUUUUAUUAAAAUAAGCAGUCUAAUAUUAAAUGAAACAAUUUAAAAAGAAAAUUGAUUUAAAGCAUCAUAAAAAGUAUGAUGGAUAAAAAGAAAAUAAUAAUAAUAAUAAUUUAUGAAGUGACGCGCGAACUAAUAAUAAAAUUAAAAAGUUAUAAAAUAAUAAUGAGUUCAUAAAGUGAUAAAGAUCACUCACCCGAAAAAAAAAAUAAAAAAUCCCGUGCCAAUAUGUUUAGAAUUCCUAAUACAACUUUUUCUAUAUUUUGAUUUGUUUCCUAAGAAGAUUUUGGCCAAGGCACGGAUCCACCUCCUAACUUAAUCCACCUUCCAAAAUAUGAAUUAUAAAACCCAAGAGUUGAUGACUUAGCAGUUCCAAGGAUUGUUAUUUCUAGUACAUCAUCAUAAAGUCUCUUAUUCUAUUCUAUAUUCUACAUAAUGUAAACUGAUCGUGCAUUUAUUCCAUUGUUUAACAAUAAAACUUUAAUCUAUCAUCAUUGUCAAACCUCUUCAUAAUAUCACCAAACCUACAUUACUACAUGAUAAUACAAAUCAAACAAUUUUAUUAUUAAGACUAAAUCUUUGAAAGGUAUGUAAAAUAUAACAAUGAUAUGAGAUAGUAAAAAACCUGUUUAAAUCAACAUUACAAAUUUAUACUUAAAGAAUUUUCAUUCUAAAUUUUAAAUUUGUAUCACACAAUUUUAAUACCCAAAAGUUGGUACAAUAAAGAGAAAUGAAAAAGAAAAAGGCAAAAGAUUAGGAUUGGAUGACAUGAUAAAAAAAAAGAAAAAAGGAAAUACUGUAUAUAUCAUUAAAGUAACUUGAAAUAUAGCUUUUAAUUGUUGAAAUAAUCAAGAAAUUUAUCAUAUAUGAAAAGAACUGAUUAUAUGAUAACAAUACUACAAGUGCUUAUAGAGAGUACAUUGUUAUUAAAUUUUACACUAAUUCAUACAAAACUUUUAUAAAAUGAAUAACAUAUCUUCAGAUAAUGGGUAGUUUAGUGAAGACUUUUUAAACAAUAUGAUAUUAUCGGUCUAAAUUGAUUUGUUGAAUAGCACGAGUGACCAAUCACUCGUCCAUGGAUUGCUAUGAUUAUAGUUUAACAAAAAAUGUAGUUGCAAAAUUAUUUUUCUUCAAAAGCACGCUCUCGCUUCCACGGGGAGCAUGUUAGUAGGUCCCACGCAAAUACCAUGAGAGAAAGAUACUCUUCGAAGAACAACCACCACAUGGGGCAACCCGACCCCAUGUUCUCGUUCUCUUAUUUACUUGUUUUCUUCUAUUUACAAGUUCUGUUGUCCACUUAUGAUAACUCCAAUCGAACUUUCUCGUAUAAUUUUGUAUUAUCCCCAGAUACACAAGUACAGCUACAUCCCAGAAACAAAGCAAUAAAUAAACAAUAUAUGUACAAUUAGAGUUUUCCUGGCACUUUCAUUUCUAAUCUAGCUAAGAUCCAAGUUUAACAUAACCCAAGCUCCAUAAUCAUUGUAUCAUCAUGGCUACCCAAUCUAACUAGCAUCUCAAGCAAUCAUAUAUUUUAGACUUUUCCUUCCAAUAAUAAAAUAAAACCAGCAAGUUUCCUAUUGUUUAGCCUAAGAGAAUGUAAAAAAUAAUUAUACAUGACAUAGUUAAUUAUAUUAUACCCUAGAUAUAUAUCAAGAUCAUAUGUGCAAAGUUAACCCUUCCUAUCAUUAUCUUGACUCUAUCGAGAGAGAGUAAAACAGUAUUAGGGUUGCUCUCUCUCCAGACUUACGUGUGUGUGUGUUGCAGUGUCCAAGAAACUUCAAAAUUCAAGAUGCUUGAGUAGGUCAAAGGCAGCCUUUGGACCCCUAGAAAUCAUGAAUUCAGAAGUGGCCCAUAACCUUCUGGCUUCCGCUAGGUUGGAUCCCAAUUUUGAGGUUGAGGUUUCGUUACAGUCAGCAAAGUAUUUGCCGGAGACAUCGGACAGCCUCGGAUGAGUUGCCACAUAACAUGUUGUGGCAGCUGCCUACAUUUUUAUUCGCGUUGCAAGAAAUCAGCAUAAGAGAGUUAAAGACGAUGACAAAAAAGAUACUUGUAUUCAAGAAUUAAACUACUUAUUUAUUUAAAUUUUCAAAUUAGAAAAACAUCUCGUUAGGAAGGACAGAGACAAUAGGCAAUAAUGAGUCAUGACGCACGCGUACACUAUUUUGAAUUACCUGAGGAAUGGUCUUUAGGAGCUUGGAAGCCAAAAAGAACACUAAAUCUGCAAAUUUAUUUUAGAACAUGAAAGGGAAAAUGCAAAAAUCAAUGACCAUCGUCAUACAAAAAAUAGAAGCUAAAUCCAUCACCCGUGUAAAAAAGAAAAAGGGAAAAAAAAAAAACAGCAAAGCAAGAUUGGAUUAUUUGUUUGGUUCCAACCUGUGAGUAAACCUUCACGCUCCCUAGUGAGUCUGGUUCUCACAAUCCCAGGAUGAACACAGUUAACAGUCACGUUGGCCCCCGUUUGCUGCAGAAAUAAAUUAAUUUAUUAAUAUUAUACUGUGUCAAACAAAUAAAAUAUGAUAUAAACCAAUCAAGAAGCAAGAACGGGGUUAAACGAAUCCAAUUCCUGGGAAAAACAUGAUUACUGAGUAGGGAAACAAACAAAUGUGACUUUUUUAGAUGGAUAGGAUCAUAGACAGAUAUUGCAUUGCAUGUGAAUUAAUAUAUUAAAUGCGGAAUGAUUAUGAACAUAGCAAGUGUGUGUUACCUGGAGUCUACGUGCAAGUUCCUUAGUGUGGAAAACGUUGGCGAGCUUGGAGAGAGCAUAAGCACGUGUGGCGUCGUAAUGGCUGGGGGACACGAGACAAAUUUCAGUCCAAAGAUGCACGCAGUGUUUCACAAACACGUAUACAUCACGUUCACAUCAUUUCAACUUAGAUUGACUAUUUUUUUUUUUAAUUUCAAAAAAACACCGUAUUGUUAGCAAGAAACUAAAAAUGAUUGUAACAACUCACAACAACACACUCGUGUUGUUGUUGUUAUUGCCACCUUUUGUUACGGCUUAUAAGAGCCAGAUACGAAACCGCAUCGCCGGAAAACCAUCCGUGGAUGCUAGACGACACGUUCACUAUCCGACCCUGCACUCCCGUCUCCUUCGCCGUUUCAGCCAUCGUCUUCACCAACAACUUUGUCAACAAAAAAUGACCUAACAAAAGCAUUUCCUCCACUCAUUAAUUAUCUAAUCUUACAUUAUUGCAAUUAAUUAUUUCUUAAUUAAUCACACGAGUGCUUUUUACUUUAAUUAAUCGUUAAUUUAGUUAAUUUCUCACCUAGGUAAUUAGUGGCGAAGGUCAUUUCAACUCCGUCUUCCGAUACAGCGUGUUCAUGCGCAAACUUUCCGGCGUUGUUUCUAAUAUUCAUCAAAAUUCACGGAUGAGAAUCCUGGUAAUGAUCUCGAUUUUUUUUUCUUUCUUUUGAGGUUAGAUAAAAAUGGAAAUAAAAUAAUUGAAGCAUGAUACGAUUAUUGUUUCACAUACAUGAGAAGAUGGAGAGGCAAACCGAGAGUGUGGAACUGAUUUACGAAGCUUCUAACCGAAUUGAGAGAACUUAGAUCAAGAGCCAUAACAAUGAUCUCAGAAUCAGGACACUCUGAUACUAUACGCGCUUUUGCGUCUUCAGCAGCUUUCACGCUACGCGCCGGCAGAAUCAGCCUAACUCCACGUUUCGCUAACACACGCGCCGUUUCAGCUCCGAUUCCAGACGUAGCACCUGAUAAUAACAUCGUACAUAAUUUUCAUAAAUACUUACGAGAAUAUAUUAAUGAUUAUAAGUAGUUGUGGAAAUAAUUUACCGGUGAUGAUGGCGGUGAGACAGCGGAGAUCGGCGCGGUUUUCCGUGACUUGUUCGGCGGUGGAUUUGGAGCCGAAGCCGCUUGGACCGGCGGAGCCGAGAAGGUAUCUAAGUGUGUCGAUCAUGUUUAAUAUUGAGAAAUGAAAUAUAUGAAGCGUUGGAGUGAAUGUUUGAGUAGACGUUACUCUUGUCUUAACUGAGCGACCGAUGAGUUUUGAGAGUGAUAUAGGAGUAUAAUAUUCGGGAAAUUAAAUAAAAUUGUUGUGUGAUUCUUCUUAUGAUUCUGGUUGUGGCUCUGAUCACAGAGAAAAAGGAAGAGUUCACGACUUGACUUUGGGCUGUACUGUAAAAAAAGGUGUUACUCUUUUUCACUGUCAGAUUUUGCAGAUGCUCUUACUGCAAUAUACAGCUCUACAUUAAUGUCAAUGAAACUGUGAGAGAGAGAGAGAAAUCACACAGGUUUGGUGUACGUGGUAAGAAAAAUAAAAAGAAAGAAAAGUGAGAGAGGAAUGAUAAAGAGGAAAGGAAAAGAGGCGUGAGCGUGAUACUGAUACUGUCACAAACAGAUUGGUUAAAGGGUAUACAGCACAAAUGAAAAAGAAUAUAUAUAUAUAUAUAUAUAUAUAUAUAUAUAUAUAUAUAUAUAUAUAUUUAUAUUUAUUUAUUUGUUUAUUUAUUACUCACAGUUGAAAGUAGACUACAGAAAGAGGGAAUCGAGAAGGGGAAAAUAUUGGAAGAAAAAAAAGAAAAAAGAAACACAAGGUACUACAGACUACACAUUUUUCACGCAUGUAUUAUAUACAAUAAAAUAAAGUAUACCUUAUUUUCUCUUAAUCUAAAUGUUAUAUAUAAUGUGACUUUAUAAUAAUAAUAAUAAUAAUAAUAAUAAUAAUCUAAGUUCAGAGUGAAAAUAGCGAUAAUAAUAUGCUUCAAAUUCAGGUUCGAGUUCAGAGUUUAAUAUAUAGAAAAAUUUCUAAGGGUUUACAACUAUUUUUUAUUCUAAAUUCUCAUAAUCAUUUGUUUUAUGUAAUUAUUCUUAUUUUUAUUUCAGACCUAUAUUUAUAUAUAUUUUAAAAUAAUUUUUUGAUUGAUAAUAAUUUAAUUAAGAUUCAAUAGUUGAUAAUUAUAUUUUACAACAUUGUUUUAUCAUUAAUCAAUCAAUCAAACUGUUAAAUAUUUUAAUUAAUUAAUUGUGUGAUGAGGAAGUGUUUGGGAUGAACUUUUGGGUGAAUUAAUGUGUGUGCCAGGGAAAGACACCGAUGAGAUAUAGUGCUUUUUAUUUCUUGGCACCACUCGUCACCAUGGCUAAUCUGGUUAUCAUUAUACCCAUCUUUUAAGAACCAAAGUCAUACCCGUACACUCUUUAUUAUUCAAUAAAUUAUAUAUUUUAUAUAAAACUUAAAAAGUGAUCAUGUAUGCAAAGAUAAAGCGAAAAAUAAGUUAUAAAAAGAGUUUUAUAAAAACUAUAGUUAGACUUUUAAUUAUACCAAAUCUUAACUGGUGUCUUUAUACUACAGAUUAUGAAACUAAAAGAACUUUUUCUUAUUAAGAUAGAAGAAAUGCCCUGUUUUAUGAAAUUUUUAUGUAUAUUUUAAUACUUUCGUUUAUUAUGUACUAUUCGUUAAUCAAAAUUUUCAUCAUACCACAUGUAUAUAUUAGAGACCUUUUUCUCUCUUAAGUUGCAUCUCGAUUGAGGUUUAUUUUCUUAAUAUUGGUAUUUUUGAAGGUGUGAUAAUGCAGAAAGUUGUAAUAGGAUUAGGAAAGAGGAGUGUAUUAGUGAAUUUAAUGGUUUGGUUUAUAGAUAGACUGGUGUUUAUGGUUGGUGUUUUGGCUACUAAAUAGGGUUGAUAGUGUUUGGGUUUGGAAAAGUACUUUUCUUCAUACAAUUUGGUCAAGAAAACAAAGCGAAUUAAGGUUGAGACGAUUGAGCAAUCACAUCCUUUGAAUAUCUAGUUUUAAACCUCUGAUAAAACAUCUAACAAAGCUUUAGUGGUGAUACCCUGCACACGAUUAGUCAAAGCAGUGAAUUGAACAUGAUAUUCAUGAACAUAAGUUGUUUAUGUUAAUUUAAACAGACAGGACCUGAAACACUCAUAAGGAGAAGGACUAAAAUCCAAUUCUAACGCUUGAGUAAAUGCACUCUGGGAAUGAAAUGAAUCAUGACGAGUCAUAAUUUGAUACCAAGAAACCACAUCUCCAAAUGUAUGGUAACAAUAGUUAAGUGAUGAUCAUUAUGGAUAUUGUAAUAUGAAAAAAAUUGUUUUGCCUUGAAGAUCCAUCAAAACGCAAAAAAUCCAACUUGACAUUAUGCACUUGAAACAGUUGGAAAGGGUUUGCGGCUUUAUGUUGCAGGAAAGUAUCAAUUGCAGACUCCAUGGUCUCAAAUUUGGUGGUAUGUUCUCGAUCCCGUGUCUUAAUUACUUUUAGGAUUCGCCUGACAUUAGCAAUGAGUUUUCUGAGACGAGUAUUUUCUGCCAUAACGAUGAAAGCACCAUUAUGCUCACAAAAACAAGAAAAUACUAGGAGUCAUUCCCACAUGUGCACAAAGCGAUGAUGUAAGGAAAAACAACCGAUUCAACCGAAAAAAAUCUAGAGAGAAAGCAAAACAUAAUUCCAAUUCCCUCUUCUCUCUCAUUUACCAACAGAAUAUAUAGACUAAGCCAUAGACUAAUAAAAGUCAUCCGACCUAGAGUUAAUUCUUUUGUUUCUUGUGUUCCUCCUUACUUCCUAGUUAAUACAAUUUGUUGCGAAGUAUUCUUGGUAAGUUGUAUUUUUCCUUAAACCUUUUAUCUUUAUUACACUUAUUACCAUGAAGACUUAUCAUAACUAUAAAAGGAUUUCUCAUCAUAAAUAAUUCACUAAAAAUUACAUGAUAUUAUUUAUCUAUCAAUUUUGUACAUAUUUUAAAAUAUUUAUUAUUUUAUUUUGAAUAACAAAUGAUAGUUAAUGUUGUUAGAGUAUUUAAUUUUUUUAUAAUUUUUUUCUCAUUACGACAUUUUUUUCUACUGACGGUGAGAGUUAAGAUAUUGCAUAGUCAAUCUUUUCCUAAAUUCAUAUUUUAUAUACUUUAAAAUAAUACAAUUUGAUAAAUAGUAUAAGGAAAAAAUAAUAUAAAAAAUUAUUGUGAAUGUGAUUAAAUAUAAUGUUUCAACAUUUUUUUAUUAAUCUUGCAUAUUUAUUUAUUUACUCUAAUAUUCAUAUUCUUUCUAUAAAAAAAUCUAUGUUCUUAAAGCUCACCCUUAUCUAGGGGCAUCUUUCUCUCUCACAUCGUGAAUGAUGAUAUGUGUGUGAAGAGAGAGAUGGGAUCCCAUUGACUUUUUCAUAAUUAACGUCCACAAUGCAUGUUAAAUCAAUGCACUCACCUUUUUACACCAUCAUUCAUUGCUUCUCUUUCACACAGGAAUCCAUUUUUUCUUCAAUCAAUGCAAUUUUUUACAUCAUACAAAAACUCAUAUAAUCUUAAAGUUUAUCAAAUGACAGUAAAAAAUAGAAUCCUCACACUAUGUAAGUCAAUUUGGUUCGUUAUGGGUUUGAGUUGAAUUGAGUUUGAAAAAAUUGUAUUUAUUUUUAUGCGGGUCAGAUUUUAAUCUGGUUCAUUUAAAUCCUGUUCAUGCGGAUUGAACUUAUGGUGGGCCGAGUUGACCCACCAACUCACCUACCUAAAUUUAUUUUAUUAAAAUUUAAUUUUAAUUUUAUAAAAAAAAUAUUUAUUAUUUUUUAUUGCUUGAAAAAAUUAUUUAGGUUCUCUAUUUUAAAAAAUAAUUAAACAUCCAUUUGGAAAUAAAACUUGGGAGUAAAAUUUGUUUAGGUUUAAACUAUAGAAAUUUUGUAAUUCUUUUAUUUUAAAAAAAUGUAAUUAAGUGGGCUAGUAAACCAACCCGUUUAUCCACCAACCCAUAGUGGGUCGAGUCGGGUUCGAGUUUUUCUGACUCGCUAAUAAACAAGUCGGGUUGAGUUAGCUCACUAAGUGACCAACCUGUGGUGAACCGGGCUGGGUUAAGCCGGAUUACCCGUUUUGACAACUCUUUAAAAAAGUAAAUAUUUUCUUUAUUUUAGUCCAUUACAAUACUAGUUAUAUAAGAUAUUUUUAAUUUUUCUUUUCCAAAUCUCAGUGAUUUUAAUUUUUUGAAGUUACUUUUUCUAUAAUGCUUUAAGACAUGCCUAAAAAGAUAAACUAAUAUUCAUAUUAAAAGAGAUAGAGAUAAUAAAGUGUGGUAGUUAAGAUGACAAUUAAUUGAAUUGAGUACGGAUAUAUUUUUCCCUUACUUGAGUGGUAAUAAUUUUUUUUUAUCUAUUUUUUUAUUUGUUUUUUUGGGUUAAAUAAGUUUUUAGUUCCUAUACUUUGGUGUGAUUUUGGUUUUAGUCCCUCUUUCAAACUAUAGUACAAUUUAGUCCUUCAAUUUUAGAAAACUCUGGUUUUAGUCCUUUUUACCAAUUUUUUUUUAACUUUAUUUGUUGUUUCAAACACAUUACAUUAUAGCAUUUAGAUUGUUUACACUGUUUGACACAUUUUUGGCUUUAAUGUUAAUUGAGAAACGCGUUUGAAACAACAAACAAAGUUAAAAAAAUUUGGUAAAAAGGACUAAAAUCAGAGUUUUCUAAAAUUGAAGGACUAAAUUGUACUAUAGUUUGAAAGAGGGACUAAAACCAAAAUCGUCCCAAAGUACAGAGACUAAAAACAUAUUUAACCCUUGCUUUUUUAUAAUAAUAAAUAUUUGUGAGUAUGAAUAGUGUGAUUUUUAUCUUCAAUAUAUUUAUAAAUAAAUAUUAAAAUAUUUAUUAUUCGUUAUUUCUUAUUUACAAAUAAUAAAUAUUUGUGAGUAUGAAUUAUCAUUAUAUUUCGUGAAUUUGUGUAUUUUUAUCAUCUAAUAAUAUUUGAUGAUAAAAUUCACUACAUAUUUUAUACUUGAAAUCAGUUUUUACUCUUAUUUAUAAAAUAUAUAAAAGCAAGGAUGUAUUUAGAGAAGAAGAAAGAACAAACUAGCAAAGGAAGUGAGUAAUGGGUGUUGUCGGUUGAUUAAUAAAAUAAAAUAUAGUAAAUGCAAGGAAUCUAAGUAAGUACGUCAAAUAAUUUAUAUUACAACCCUGCUUCCUUUUUUUUCCUAAGGAUUAUUUUAUAGAAACUAAAAGUAUAAUAUUUUUUUAUUAGAAUAAAAUAAUUAGACAACUUUUUAUUGUACUCAUUUUUUUCUUUUUCCUCUAAUACAUAAUAUGUAUAUAAAUUAUUUAAUGUAAGGUGUGAAAGUAGAUUAACAUCUCUCUAUUUUUUGUGGUUUCAUUCCAUUAUAUUAUAAUCUAAAGGAUUUUUAUGAGAAAAUUAUUCAAAUAUACAGACUUUAUAAUAUAUAUUCUCAUAAUUUCAAGUUAAAAGAAUAAUUUUUUAUUUACGUCAUAUAAGGUUUUAUUUUAUUUUUUUUAUGUUACGCCAGUAUAAAACACUUGGGAAGUUUUAUAACAUUUAAAUCUCAAUCUUAUGACUUAUAUAUAUAUAUAUACAUACAAUGAUAUAUAUAUAUAUAUAUAUAUAUAUAUAUAUAUAUAUAUAUAUAUAUAUAUAUAUAUAUAUGAUUUCUCAAAUAAAGAUGUUCAAGGUGGUCAGCAAUUAAAAAAUAUAUAAAUUUUGCAGUUGUAAUGUAUUAGAAUGUGAAAAUUUUGAUAAUAUAUUUCAAAAUGUUUUUAAGGGAUAUUAAUCUUAUUAAUAUAAAUCUUAGUAAGGUUGAAAAAAACUCACACUUACAAAAAAAUCACAAAAGAAUAACUCAAUUUAAAGAUAAAAAAAAUGUAAUCAUUAUAGUGACAAGUUAAAUACAAUUUUACAAAUUAAAAAUUAUUGAUAUUUUAAAUUGUUUUUACAAUAAAAAAAUUAUAAUUAAUUUUAAUUUGAUCUCUAAAUUUUAGUUAUUUAUUAUUAAUAAUUAUAAAUUAUUCUAAAAUCUAAUUUAUAAAUAAAUUAAAUUUGAGAUGAAGUCUAGUUAUUUUUAAAAGAAGCAAUCUUUUGUAAAUAGAUUAUGCACCAUAUUAGUUUGAAAUGAGACAUAAACGUACGUACUAAUCUAUAGUGAGUGUCCACUUUAGCAAAAUUUUUGUUGUAAAAGUUUCAUCUUUUAAUUACUAUAAUUAGAAAAGUUAUUGCAUAAAAAUUAAUUUAAAUGGUGAUCACUAUGUUUUAACACCAAAAUUAUUAGUUUAUGGAGUCAAUGUAUGUGUGAGAGAGAGAGUAUGUGUUUAAUUCACGAGUAAUUGCAAACUUUUCUUCCACUUCUAUCCAUGAAUUUUUUACUAGUAUUACCUAACUUGGGAGUUGUGGAUCUAAUAUUUUGAAAUGAUUGAUAGAAUAGAAAGAAAAAAAAAAGUAAUAGAAAAUAGAGUUAAAAAUCUAUUUAAUAUAUCGAGUUCAUAUGUAACACGAAACAUAGUAGACUCACUUAAAAUAUGAAUUGUUUUGCAGACUGAUUUGACUAUGGAUAUAAAUUUGAGCAACACGAAAGCAUGCAUUUAACGUUAGGCUAUCAUCAUUGUGUGCAAUGAACACAUAAAACCGGCUGAUACAAUGUGUGAUCAUAAAAUAAUUGUGAUCUAAAAGGACCCAUUACCAUAUAGAAUGUGAUAUGAUCUGGGCUACGCAUGUAAUAUAUAUCAAGAAUUAAUUAUCAUAAAAAAGAUGAAAUUAUUUUUAGAGGUAAUGGGUAAAAAAAUGGUGUGACAAAAGUACAUGUUUAUGAUAGUUAAAAAACGAUUAAAAUUUAAAACCUCGGUUAGAAGUUGUUUAGUUGUGGCUAAAAGUGGCUUUCUCUUGGAUUUGUCUCCUCAUAUAAACACAAGCCAUGCUAUCAAACCCUAGAUUUGAUGUGCAUUAUUUAAUAUGCCACAAUCAUGAAUCACAUUAUGCACUACUCUUUGGGUGAUUAGUGAUUCGUAGCCAUCUUGGUUUGACCAAUCAAUUGUGGGACUCGAGUCCGGAGAAGCAAAAUCCAUUAACUAAAUCACAUAUUAAAUUGUAGUAUUUGGAGCAAUUACUUUCCACUCACUCAUUCAUUCUAGGGUGGCUAAAUGUAUAAUAAUAAAAGACCCCAUAAACAACACAUUAAUUUGGCUUGUUUUAAUUAUUGAGUGGAGUCAUUUGAAUGCAAGAAUUCUUCAAUGAUUGCCACUCUUUCAUGGGUUUUGAGUCGAAUCUUGGAGGACCCCCAUCCUUGGUUUUAGGAAUAAGUUUAUGAAAUUUCUUAAUCAAACCAUAAAAUGAUUUAGUGAUGCUAAUCAUCCAUCCACCGAGUUUGUUUAAUCUAUAAUCUAUUCCUUGAUUGAUUACCGAAUAAUAGCUGACAUUUGUUGAUUGGUGAGUUAAGGUUGGGCAAAUCUCCACAAACAUAUGCCAAAAAAGUAAAAGGAAAGGGAGAAUGGUUGGUGACACAUGCCAGAAACGCAAAUGACAUUAAAAUUAACCACUUUUAUGUAACAAAAAUGACCUUAUUGAAGAUUUCAUUUCUUGGAUGUGGUACACGUUGUAUCUUCGAUUGAAAAAAUCAAAUCAAAUUAGUGCAAAAGUGGGGUCACACUAUACAUUAACCAAUUAAGUUGGUUCCUGCAGAUUCAAAGUGUAUUUCGUAGCACCCACAGAGAAAUAAAAAACCAGAACUAUACAAAAUAUUUUCAAUAAAAUAUAAAUUACCACCUCAAUCCUGACAACUACUACUAAAAAUAUUAAAUAACACUACAUCACACACACCAUAUUUGUGUUUUGUAAAUAUAGUAUCACCAGAGCGUUUUUAUCGUCAAAGAUUAAUGAAUUUGCAAAUAGAUGGAAGAAGAGACUCUCGAACCUUUUCAAGUUUGAUUCCUUCGUUGCUUUUAAAUUCAGUGUUGUGACUUCGGAUCUGUUAAGUAAAAUGCCAAGCCCAUGAGUUCUGAGAAUAGGCCCAUGUUUGUGCAACCCUUUCUUACCUUCCCACACCAUAUAUAUUUAUUUUACAAAAAUACCUUCGAUAAAAGAAACAAUGGCAGGAAAUAAUUCUGGAAUAUUCUAUUGGAAAAUAAUUUUACUAAUAUUGUCCCAUCGUUAUAUUAUUCAAAUAAAAGAAACAAGGGCAGGAAAGGAACUAAAAUUAAUGAUGGGUUGCAGGAAACAAAAGCCUAGCCUUAUUGCUGUAACACGAUAUCAAGCCCAAUACAAUCUUGUAAUUAUAGUUGUUUAUAAUUUUGGUUAACUACUUUUAUAUUAAAAAAUUGAACCAAACUGACAAAAUUUAAAGCUAAUAUAUAGUUUUAUAUUAAAAAAAUUAUUCACGAAUUUAUUCACCCAGUUUUCAUCACCCGCUCAUGCAAAUAUCUCGUACAAGUAAAUUAUUGCAGCAUAAUUUUUUGCCCACCUUUCAAUUUCUGAGCACGUCAGCAUUCUAUGUUCCGAUCUUCAGGCCAUCCAAACUCCUCCAAGAAUGCCAACACAACACCAUUUGACCAGCCGAAACCAGUCUGCAUUGCAAAACAACCCAGUCAGAUACUGAAAAAGUCACUAGUCAAAUUUCUUCCAGUCAACCAAGUCAGAUUAUAUUUUCUACAACGUUUCCCUAGACCAAAAACAUAAUUGUAAAUAGUAAUACCUGGGGCACGUAUUCGCCUCCACCUCCAAAUUCUCCACAAUGCUCCACGUCAAGCUUUUCAUGCAUUAAGCCCGUUUUCUUGUAAACGAUAUAAUUGGUUGUGACCCAUCUGAUGGCAAUUUCUUCAGCCAAUGACCUUGCUUCUUGCGACCCAGAUUUUAGAAGGCCUUCCACUAGCAUGUGUUGAAGCGGCGCCCAGCCAUUUGGAAAGUCCCUAUUGCAAGCAUGUAAGGAUCAUUGAUAAGUGAAACAUUUUACCUGUCUUACCCACUCUCACCCUGCUUAUAUUACUUACCACUGUUGUCCUGAAUCAGUCAAAGAAGUUGCAACUCCAGCGGCACGGACAAGGUCGGAAGUUUUGAGACUUUCAACGACACUAGCCACAAGUGAAGUGUCUUGAUAAACAUAAAAACAUAUUUAGUAAUCAACUUAAAAUGCAGGAAAAUGUUUUUUCUUCUAUGUUUCACAUAGGUAAACUCAUCAUAGUGAUAAUAUCACCCAAGUUCAAAACAAUUUAGCCAUUGCCUGGUGGUGCUAAAGUUUGAUAUUCAGCAAAAACAGUUUUGAAAGUGGAAAUUUGUUGUGCAUACAAUAGUAUCCCAUCCCAUCCUUAUUUAAAUUAACAUAUGACACCAAUGAAAAUAAACUGUCAUACUGAUUAACAGACUUUUAGCAAUAUUUAGUAAAAUCACAUGUUUAGCAAUCUAGCAACCUAGCCACAUGUUUAGAGAUCAACUAUUCAAUGUAAGCACUUAGAAAUCUACCUUACUUUAAGAUUUGGCAUUUGGCACCAGUAAGGCCACUUAUUAACCUAUAAUUGGAGAGCAUAACUGAUGAAAUAGAAGUCUAUAACGGUGUAAUUGUUUACACUUCCGAAAAUGAUCUUAAGUUCCUAGUUCUUCGUGAAUAAAUGUGUUCAAGGUAACCUCGUGUGAAUGAAGUUCAAGCUUGAUGAUUUACAAGAAGGAUUGAACCCAAUACUUAACUGAUACCACAAUGAUUGCGAGAACUGCUUACGUGCUUAAAUUUUCUCAUUACUCGUUCGUAAAUUUGAUAUGUUAAAACAUCAAACAUACCUGAAUAAAACGGUUUCAUCCACAAAGGAACAAAAUUGGAAGCAAAUACAUUUUUAUUCUGGCGCCCGUUUUUCCAAACAUGAACCUCCUAAAAGUAUCAAAUGGACAGUCAGAAGAACCCUCGUCUACUGGUAGAUUAAUACAUGUGGUUCCAGGAAAUACCUCACAUGUAUUUUCGAGCCAGUAGUCAAGCCAUUGUUUCAUGUUUGCAUUCCAGAAAACAGAGUCCAUUGCCUUCUUUCUAAGAUCAGCAUUUUCCAGGAACCGUUCAGCAGUGCCAUUAUCUCCAACAACUUUUGCAAAGAAGGCAAUAUUAAGUUCCAUCUGAACCAAUGGGCAUCACAGAAUUGAUAAGGUUGCAGAGAGACACUGAUUUCAGGUCUUCUUUUAGAUAUUAGUAUAAGACUUACCCCGAGUACAAAUGCAUUUAAAUCAACAGGUAUUACGGAAGUUGUAGCCAAUGUUGUGAAAUUAGGCGGGUUUCUGCAUUAAUAGGAACAAGAUUGUACUGAACUGUAAGUAUUCCUGACUCUUAAACAAGGAAACAUGUUAGACCCAAGUCGAUGUGUGUUUUUCUGAACAAGCUAAACAUUUGGUUGAAAGUGUGUUGCUUAGGCUUGCUCCCAGUGAACAUUGUGAGUUACUUUAUGAGCAUAUGAAUAUCUAGACAUUUAUUCAGAUGAUUUUUAUAUAUUUUUUUUCCCUUGUAUGUAAAAUCUUACCUCAUCCAUCUAGUGCUGAAAUCCCAUCCUGAUUCAGCAGCUGAAGCCAGGUCACGGUAAAACUGCUGUUUUUCUGAAACACUAGAGAAGUUGGAAGCAAAUACCUGGUCCUAUGGCGUGAAUUAGCCAAAAUUAUAGUUUAAGUCCCAUCUCAAUAAUACCACAGUUAUUAACAAACCAAACACACCUUAAUGGAUGAUUCUGGCCUGGGUUUGUCCCACAUUGCAUUAUAGCGAUUUAAGGUGUGAGUGCAACCUUGAGCAUCCAAAAUGGUCACCUUAUGUAUAUCUACAAGAUGAAGCAAAAGGUAAACCUACCAAAAACUAGAAGGUACACUACAAAUAUUACCCAACCGCAGACAAUGGUGAUCGAGGCAAAAACUUGUAGCGUAAUUAAUACCUGAAUUCCAAAAUUCAUACUCUUUGAGUAGUGCAGGUAGAGAUCUUUUAAGCAAUUCCACGUCACCGGUCGUACGGUAUAUCUCAUAAAUCAUAGCGCUCAAAAGGGGAGGCUGGCUAAUAUAUCAUAGUAAAGUUUAUAGUCACUUUUUCAGUUUGAGGGUAAGAAUUAUACAAUGACUUCCUUUUAUUUCAAAAGGAGCGGUCCAGCUAUAAGCAAGAGUAGCAUUUUCCUCCAUCUACAGAUUUGAAUGAGAAUGGCAUGAUAUCAAGGUAAAAAAGACUCGAGUAAAAUCAUGCCUCAGUAUCCGUUCGAAACCAACUCGUUAAGUUGUUUUUAAAUUAUAAAACUAGAAAAAAAAAAUUAUCUUUUAGGUGACAAUGGCAUCUAAUUCAAUGAAAGGAUCAAAAUUAUUAACGUUGUAAGAGAAUGUGUGUAGAUAAAUCAUAAGCAUACAACAAAACUUGAAAAAUAAAGGUCCAAACUGAGACAUGAGUAGUAAUACACGUCUUCUAAAUCCUCCUAAUGCGUGGUUGAAAAAUAUAAAGGCAUACAAUAUAUUAUAAAUGUGAAAAAUGUGUUAUACUUUAUUCAUUAAGUAAGUAGGAAAUUAGUAAAAUACUAAACAGAUGAUUCUAUUUCAUACGCCGGGACAUUAAUUUCACAUUGACAACACUUCUCGCCUUUUUAAACACGGUAAAUUGCUAAGUGAUGAUAGAAGUUUGCAAUCGACACACAAGCCAAUAACUAGAGUUAAAUUUAUCAGUAAGUUAUAGAGAUUUUUAUGUACAAUUGUCCAUAAAUACGUGAUGAGAAGACAAACAUAGAAAGUUUGUUAUAUUGAAAAGUAAAGUAUUUAUAUUGGAAACACAAAAGUCAUUAAGUACUAUUUUUAAGGGUGAAACUUACAUUUCAAUACAAUGAAAUGAAGGAACUAUAAAUAGAAAAAGAUAUAGACACCUCUACAUCUUUGUCAUCUAAAGAAAUUUAAUAAGGCAUACUUAACGUCUUCAUUCAUGCUACAAAUCCAUGUACAGUCUAUAAAUCUAAGCUAUAACUACCAUACAACAAAUUAUUAUUGCACGAUCUAAAACCGCCACAUCUCCAUAAAUACCAAAUAUUUAUGACGCGUUAACAUUCCCAGCUUAGAAGAAACAAUUAAUAAAAUUCAGUUAAUAUAAUAAUAAUAAUAAUAAUAAUAAUAAUAAUAAUAAUAAUAAUAAUAAUAAUAAUAAUAAAAUUUAAGUAAUGUAGAGAGUACCUCCUGUUAGUGUAGUAUGCUCUAGCACCAUUAAGAACAAAUCCAUAUUGUUCUAUCAAGGAAAUGAGGUUGGUCACAAUAGCAGUAGCAGUGUCGUGCAUUUUACUCGCGAUCAGGCCCCUAAAGCCCAAAAACAAAACCCAGUGAGCAAGGCCGGACCCAGGCCCAGUAGUAAUAACUAAGUGCAGGAACAAACAAAAAAUAAAAACAAACGGACCUAAUAACCCAGUAAGAAUCCCAGUAAUAAACCUCGCGAAAACGCGAACCGGGAAUGACAACGGAACCGGGGAGAGGGAGCAGCGUAUGCAAGUCCGGGUGCGCAUGCACCGCAUCGGAUACUUUCCGGGUCAAGUUUUUCCAAAGCCAAUGGACCUGCAAGGCCCAGGCCCGCACCUGAGGGUGUUUGACCUUGGGCAAGAAACCCUCCGGUUCGCGAACGAAAUCGUGUGGGGUCAGGUGCACCAGAUCGUCCCCUGCACCUCCGAAGUAGGCUUCUAGAAAGCGCUUUAAAUCUUCAGCCGCCACGGUGCCGUUGGCGUUACGCGGAAGCUUCUGGAACGCGUCCUGGGUAACGGAUAGUGCGAACCUAAGAGGCACGUCGACGUAGGUCUUGGGAUCGAAAUCGGUACCGCCGAAGGCUUCGAAGGCGGUUUUUUGGAGGCGUUGGAGGAAGGAGAGGAGAGAGGUGGAGGGCGUGACGGCCAUGGCACAGUGCGAUGAUGAUAACGAUGACGAUGUUGCUGUUACAGUGAGAAGUGUUAGUGAGACAUGAAUUAGCCAUGUGCGGAUGUGUGGUUUGCGAGCAUGAAAUGAAAAUUUUUCAGGCAUUUUUCUUUGACUUUGGAAGAAAAUUUGGCAAUGAAUUGAUGAAACAGAAAAAGAAAGAAAGAAUUAACGAAUGAUUACGACGAGAAGAAAACAAAUCUGGAAGCCGGCGAUUGACGCUAGGUGUUACGAUGAGGGUGAGUUUGUAUAAUAAACAUUUUUAAUAUUGAAAAUAACACACAAGAGUGCACUAAAAAACUCACUCUCAGAACACACUCUUCGACGGCAAUACAGUUACUCACGCUUCGACGGCAAUACAGUAACGGCAAUACAGUUACUAAAAAACUCAUUUGAUUUUAUAUAUAACUAGACGAUUUAUUAGUUAAUUGUCUAGACUUAUCAUUUAUAAUUAACUAUUCAAAUUAUAAUUAAUCAAAGGAUUAUAUUUUACAUUAUCUAAGAUUGAUUGAAGUAAAAAUGAUGAUAACUAAAUUUUUUUACGAAGACAUAUUUUUAUAUUCUUUUGAUUUUUUGUAUUUUUUUUAAAUUAGUAAUAUCACAUAAAUGUAAAAAAAUUAAGAAUAUUAAUUUUUUUUAAAAUGUGUGGUACUCAUUAAAAUCAUGUGGGCCCAUUUAAAAUUUAUUCUACGGAGUUCGACCUUUGCUUAGGAUGCUCUUUUCUUGCCAUUGGUUAACUUUUGGUAUUCAUGUUCCGCCAUUCCUUCAAUUAUAAAAUAGUUUUUUCUCUAACAGCUUAAACAUAUUUAUAAGGAAGCUGAUAUUUUAACUACUUUUCUUAACAAUUUUUUAAUAUCAUCAUUUUAUUGAUUUAUUUAAAUUUAUAUUUAAAAAAUAUUUAAAACGAAUCAAUUAUAAGUUAUCACAUAUAUAUUAUCAAAAAAUUAUUAACAAAAUAUUGUUAAAAGAAUUUUUUUCUAUUUAUAACUAGUGAAAAAGAAAGAAUAGACACGAAAGAAGAAUAAUAAAUCUCAUUCUUUAAAUUGAAAUUGAAAUUGUCUAAUGCUUUCAAUGAGAGAUUGUUGUAGAUUAAAACAUUUUAAAAGAAUUCUUCUUAUCAAGUAAAGGAAACAUUUUUCUUAAGACUUCGAUGAGUACUUAAAAAUUUCAUUCACAUUAUGAGUAGAAAACAAAUUGGCAUAGUAGGAAAGAAUGAUGAAUUCCGUUUGAAUCAUUGAAGGAAGAAUACAAAGAAGAGUAAAACAUUAAUGGAGUGUGAAAUGAGCACAUGUAACUAUUUUUCUUCCUUUCAUAUCCUUUAAUUCUUUCUCAACUAAUUGUUAAGUUUGAUCAUUAAAAGUGUAGUAUUAGCUUGAUUAGUAAGUGUCUACACUAUAAUUAAUAAAAUUCGUUAUUUAGUAUACUCAUUUUGUUUAGAAAUUAGAAACAUAGCUGUAACUAUUUACCCACCAUAUGGUUAAGGCUCUCGCUUUCUUUUCAAAUAAAAGAUAAAACAAUCCUUCUAUUCGUAAUCUUUUGCAAAAAAUUAAGAGAAAAAAAAAGCAGAUUAUUUUAGCAUGCAAUUGGAAUAAAUUCCUUACUUUGAUGCUCUAAAACAAUUAUGUUGAAAAACUCAUCUCUUCUCGGGCUUUACAUUUUCUCAACUAAUGUGAAAAAAAUUCUUGUACAUUAUUAGUUAAUUGAUUAAAUAUAUUUUAAAUUUUUUAAUUUAAGUAAAAAUUGAAAUUAACUUUUAAAACUUUUUUGAACAAUUUAUUAAUCUAUUUUUAGAACUACAUAAAUUUAGGUUUUUUUAAUCAAAUAUUUCAAAAGUGUUUUUUAAUUAAUAUUGAAAAAAAAUAUGUCAAAUAUUAUUAUAAAAUAAGUUUCAAACAUUAAAUAAAUCUCACAAAAUUUAAUUAAAACGAUUGAAUUCAUACGUUUUUAAAGUUAAAAGGUCAAAUUAAAUUAAAAUGUUGAAAAUAAUUUAUUUCCAAUUUUUACUUUAUAUUAAAUGACCAAAACAUAUUUAGUUCUUACUUAAUAAACUCUUUCCUAUAAUAAUUUUAUUUGUUCCUCCCACAAAGAUCAAAACUCGAAGCCUCUGAACUGUUGUGCAGAUACAUAAAAAAUGGUGGUGUGAGUAAGCUACACGCAGUUAUUUUGGUGCCAGGUUUCACAAUUUCACUAAGAAGACAAUAAACUAACAAGGAUGUUUUAUUUUUUAAUAUGUAUAAAAGUAUAAAUACUCCAGUAUUUCGCCCAAAUCGUACACGUUAUCAUUAUUAAUGUGAGAGGAACAUGUAAUGAAUGUUACUUUAACAAAUAUAUUAAGCUGUUGAAACUGCAAGGAGAUGACGAAAGCCUGCAUUAUUAUCAAUUGGUAACUAAUAUUAUAAAGAAGGUUCAAAGAACUCAAUUUUAAUAUAAUUUAAUCAAUGGAUUCUUUGAUUUAUUUAGACUCGAGUUCCAAGAUAAAUGUACCAUUAUUUAUAAUUAAAAACUCAAGCCAUGCAGAUAAAAUUAUAUAAUAAUAAGCCCUAAAUAAAGAAUCUCUAAGGAGUUAGUAUAGCACCUAAAUAAAGAAUCUCGAAGGUUUCUGUAUUUUAUAAAUCAUAAUAUAUGAUACUAUUUCCACGAUAUUCUCUUACAUGGCAUAAGUUGUUGCCUCUCAAACCCACAAUCACACACAAGAACACGAGACUAUCCCCGUGCUGAAUUCAUAAAGGCUGUCCAUGAUAUGCUACAUAUGUUGCAUGAAUCAAAUCAGGUUGCAAAAUGUAAUUGCAAAGCAUGGAAUGAGUUUGGAAAUCAUUUUCAUAUGUAAUGGCUUGAAGUGUUUUUGCUUAAAAAAAUUAUUAGUUUAUAUAAGUUAGCUUCAAGACCGUAGCUUUCUUAGUAAAAGGAAUUGGAGAUUGCAAGUUAGUCUUGAAAUCUCAUUUAGUUUAAAAAUGUGAGACUUUGCUUCUUCUUUUUACCAUAUCAUGUUUUCGAAUUUAGUACCAUAUUUUUUUUUUCAUUUUCAACAAUUUUAAUUGCUCAAAUUUCAUGUAUUCAUCAACCUACACAUUCAACAUUUAACAUGAAUGUUGACUUAACAAUAGGGAAAACUAUUGAUGACUAUGUAGUAAAUAGUUAUAUAAACAAUAAUACUGAUGCCAUGCAGAAUCAAAACAGUAGAGAAUCAAAAUUGUACAAUUAAAAGGGUAAGAAAUCAAUUCCAAAUGAAGAUAAUAGAAAAGAACAAAACUAUAAUUAAAAUUUAAAAUAAUUAUUUGAGUUAAAAUAAUCUCACCGAGUGCAAAGGUCCACACAUUACUUGUAUAUUUCUCUCAGUUUGACAGGAUCAUGAUGAAGAGAAACCCCCAGUCAUUCAAUCUUAAAGCAUUUAUACUUAUCCAAUAGAAAUUAGAGGCAAGGCAGUUUCUUUGUCUUUUGGCAGUAAAUGGGGAGGCAGAGCAGAGAAGACAGCAGUCCCGGGAUUCCGGACGUUAGACCAGAGAAGCCCAAGACCACGACUUAAAGCAGAAAAUCUGCUCUAUGUUUGACCGCAGAAAGCUAACUCCAAUUACUAAUAACUAUUUGCCAUUACUUUCACCACUUUUAUUGACUUCAAACUCAAAGCGCACUCGAACAAAAUCUGAGUAACUCCUAUAGACAGACUUCUACCGAGACACAUUCCUUGACGCAAGAGAAAAAUUCUAACAAGGAUAGUUUGGAAAAACAGAAACCAGAUCAUGGACACUUCCACGUCCACAGAAAAGCAAGACAAGUUUCAGGCACCAAAGGGUAGAAUUUUAAAGGAGAAGAGAGCAAAGCUUUACAUAAUUCGUCGAUGCAUAGUCAUGCUUCUAUGUUGGAAGGAGAAUCGAGAGCAGUAAAAUCGGUAAAAUAUUCAAAACAGCAUUGACUGUAGUGUUCGUGUUGUGUUUUUGUAUCAUUCUAAUGAAAAUUUUGUAUCAUUCUAAUGAAAAUAAAUUGGUUAUAACACUGCAGUGAUCAUGAGCAAAGAACCAGCAAGUCCGGAUUAUCUGCCAGAGAGAAGCACUGCAUGCAUACCAAAAGCAACAAAUGAAGAAAGACUUUCCACCUAGCCAGUGAAUAUGACACUGUUGAUCUUCUAUAAUUCUUUUCAUUCUGUAAGUUAUUGUUUCCAACUACAAAGCAAUACAUCCGAUAGGAUACCGAGUGAUAUUCAUCCACACACGAGCACAUGUAAAGAGUUAAGUGGGAAAGAGGAGAAAGAUGAAACCUAGAAAGAAAAGGGAACAGCAUAAGCACAAAUUAGUCUCACUUUCACAUUGCAUGUCUAUGCUUAACAAUACCAGUCUCCAUUACAGAUAUUAGAGAUAUUUAUUUCCCAUAUCCAGCAUCCACUAUAACGAAAAAAAAUAAAUACACUACAGGGCACUCCACUUAACACCUUUUCCAAUGGUUAGAAUACGGACAGGGAAUCAAUCUAAACGAGAAUUAUUAACCAGAAUGAAAUCUAAUCCUCCUCCGAGCAUAUUUUAAAGCUAAAUCUACUCUAAAAUCUACAAUUCUACUUCCAAGACAGAUCUUCCUGUAUAGACUUUAUAAAUUUUGCAGACUAAACCAAUGACAAUUGAGAAAUCAUUGGUUUAUACUACUUCUGGCCUUCUUAUUGUAAGGGAAAUUUCUUUUUUAUAUGAUCCCUCCAGAUUGUGCCCAACAAUUUUCUUUUGUUUGCAAAGAUGCUCCAAAGAGGAGAUGAGUUAGUUAAUUGGAUAAAAAGGUAUAAAAAGAGUGAAAUCUAAAUAGUUUUAAGGAUAAUUUUAGAAAAAUAUAAACUAAGAAAUUUAAUACUACUAACUAAAGUCCUUAACUUUUGUUAUAGAGGAUGGCAGGUAGUAACAUUUAACAAUAACAACUUUUAUGAACUAAGAAAAAUUGAACUUCCUGCUAAAUUAUUGUGUCUGGAUUGAAUAUCAGGUUUUGGAGGUAUAACAAUCCCAUGUACAAUCCUCAGAAAUAAAUCUGCAUAAGAGUUGCUUCACUUCCUUCCAUUUCGUUUUCUAUCCCAGCACACUAUUGUUCACAUAGAAUAAAUAACUUAUUUAGGCAAUAAUUUUAAAGAAAUAUCCUUCACAAGAGUUUUCCUUGAAGAACCAAAAUGUUGGGUAUGCAAAAUUUAAACCAGUAAUUUGACACCCCCAAAACUAGAAUUUGUGAUCAGCUCAUUAUAUAUAUAUAUAUAUAUAUAUAUAUAUAUAUAUAUAUAUAUAUAUAUAUAUAUAUACGUACGUGUAUUCCAAAUACCUGGUAUAAGACCAGCUACACUAAACCUCACCUUAAACUUGAUUUAUUUCCGUUAGUGUUUACAUUCUAUUCGAUAUGUGGAAGCCAAGGGCAAUGGUGUACGUGUCUAUUCUUUUUUAUAACUUUUAGACAUUUUUUCCUAUUCAUCCAAUAAAUCUAAAUAUUUCACUGAACACAGCAAUAAUGUUUCAUCACAUGUCAUCUCGUGUUUUUAGAAAUUUGAAACCAUUAUCUCCAGUGUACUAACAUUUCUGUGAGUUGUUCUUAGCAAUGUACCAAGGCUCAAUCCACAAUGGACCACCCCAACGUAAUAAAUGAAUCAGGACCUAGGCCUAGCUAGAAAACUCGUAAUGAAAACAGAGCUCUGAAACAGUACUGCAACAUCUAAACGCUUCGCUUGUGAGUACAUUCAAAUUAAAUCCAUAACUAAUACGACAUUUCCAAUGGAUAAUUCAAAGAAUUGCCCAAACCAAAAUCCAAAAAGCAUCAACGAAGCUUAAUUGAAAUAGCGCCAAUAACAUAUCACAACAAUGACAUAAAAUAAAUAGAUAUAAAUAAAUAAUAGAAUUAAUAUAAAUAUAUAAGCAUGUAAUAAUCAAAUAAUUAUAUAUGUAGACAGGCAUAAAAUGGCAUCACAUUUUUUUUUCAAAAAAUUGAAGCAACGAAAAGCGGAAUUCCUUACAUAACAACACACACGCGAAAAGAGGAAAAGGAAAAAGGUCUAUACAUAGAAGCAGCAGCCACGACGCCGUAUAGCCUCAAACGGGGAGGUUGGAGACGUCAUUUGUUUUUUCAGCGUUGACCGGGGCAGAGGCGGGAUUGGAGUUGAUGGCAGUGGGGGUGGUGGCGGCAGUGGGAGUGGCGGUGGUGGUGGAAUAGUAAUCUUCGUCGUCGUCAUCAUUGUCGGGGUCAGAGGUUGCGACGUUGACGCAAGAAAAGCGUUCCAAGGAAGAGAAGAAGGCGGAAGAGACGGUGGAGCCGAGCCACAUGGCCACCUGGUCGAUCUUCCAAUCGGAUCCGUUGUUGUCCAUCGUCGCCGCCGAAUCAGAUCUCAGUUUCCUUCUUUCUGUCUUUUUUUCUUUUCUCUUUUUCGUUCUUGCAAGGGAACCGUGUUUUGGUUUUAGGACCAAGCAAUGGUGAGAAAGAGGCAGAUAGUGGAAAUGACCGCGUUGCCCCUUCUAUCGUUGUUUUUCUCGCUUUGUUAAUUGUGUUGUAUAAACCAGUAAUUAAUUUAUUAAUUAACUAAUUAAUUUUUUUUUCUAUCAACUAAUUAGCUGAUUAAUUUUUUUUCUCUAUUACCGUCACUGCCCAAAGUUUUAUUGAGGCCAUGUAUAUGUUACAUUAUAUUAUUAAUUUAUUAAAUUUUGAUUUCCCACGUAAGCAAUGUUAGUAACUUAUUCAUGUUUUUCUCCUCCACAUUCUUUACACCAAGUAUAAUUUCUAAUAAAAUAAAUAAAUUAAUGCUCAAUAGAUAUCACAUUGAUUAAAUAAAUACCUUCUAAAAUAUGUCAAAUUUAGUUUGGGGGGAAUUAUUCUUUUUACUUUAGGGGUGAAACACCACUUAAAAAGCGGGCUUACUCUACUUGCUUUAAGGCCACUGUACCACAAAAUAAUGUUUUAUUAUGUCCUCCUGAAGGCGUGUCACUUUAAUAGUUGGUUAGUUAUUUCUUGAUGUAAAUUAAAUAAUUUGUUUAUUUCUUAAUUAAGAUUUUAGUGUGUUUAUCUUAGUUAAAAAGAGUUGUCAAAUAAUGCUUUGUUUUGCCGUAUUGCACUAUCAUUGUUACAUGCCUUAUUUAUUGUCUUGUCAUAUUAUCCACCAAAUCCUUCGUUUUAAUAUUAUGCAAAUUCAAUACAUGAAACUUACUUUAUUAAUGUUUUAUUGUUGUGUAUCAUUACUCAAAAUUGCUUCACAUGUAAUAGCUUGUAUCUAAUUUUAGCUAGAUCUUCUUGAUCUUUAUUGUUUUAUCAUCACCGACCAAUCUCCACACAAAUCAUUAUAAUCCUUAUCCAUGUGAUUGAAAUGUAUGGAUUCAUGAAUUGCAUAUUGCUCUUUUACCUCGAUUUUUGAGAAUCAUUCCUCUCUUUUAUAUAUAGUAUUUUUAUUUAUUAUAAUUAUGUAUUUUUUUCAUAGGUGCUGAAUUGAAUUCAAGAUGUUGAAAAUUGUAUCUAAGUUGAAAGUUCACAAUUUGAAGGGAUUGCAUGAUGUAAUGAGAAAAAACGUGUUGAUUGCUAUUUCACCGUGCAACCAAACAUGCAAUUAGAGGACAUUUAAUGUGUAUAUUAAUUUUCAGCAAUAAAUUUUACUAUUUGACAUCUGUCCCACGAAAGGAAUUAUAAAGUGACGGAUGUUCAUUACUGUAUAUCUUAUGCCAUUUGGGCUUAUACCCAUUAUUGUUGUUUAUGCAAUAUGUAACUUCUGCUUUGUUUUAGUUCUAAUCUUAAAACAAAUUAAAGUAUUUAUAUUCAAUGUAUUUUGGACACCAAAAAUACAAGAGCUAGGAGACUCUCAACUUCCAUCAUAAAAAAUUUAAAACUCCGACUAACCUACUCUACUGCUCAAUCUUUGCAUGCUACUGCUUCAUCAGCAGACACAAGCCAAGUUAUAGCGAACAUUUCUAGAGCUCGUCAUGAGAAUCAUCAUCGUCCUCACCUGAUGCACCACCACCUGGGGCUCCUCCUGAUCUCUGAUACACAGCACUGAUGAUUGGGUUGCAAACGGCUUCCACCUCCUUAAGCUUCUCCUCAUAUUCUUCUUUCUCAACACUCUGGUUGUCAUCAAGCCAUUCCAAUGCUUCCUUCACUGCNNNNNNNNNNNNNNNNNNNNNNNNNNNNNNNNNNNNNNNNNNNNNNNNNNNNNNNNNNNNNNNNNNNNNNNNNNNNNNNNNNNNNNNNNNNNNNNNNNNNNNNNNNNNNNNNNNNNNNNNNNNNNNNNNNNNNNNNNNNNNNNNNNNNNNNNNNNNNNNNNNNNNNNNNNNNNNNNNNNNNNNNNNNNNNNNNNNNNNNNNNNNNNNNNNNNNNNNNNNNNNNNNNNNNNNNNNNNNNNNNNNNNNNNNNNNNNNNNNNNNNNNNNNNNNNNNNNNNNNNNNNNNNNNNNNNNNNNNNNNNNNNNNNNNNNNNNNNNNNNNNNNNNNNNNNNNNNNNNNNNNNNNNNNNNNNNNNNNNNNNNNNNNNNNNNNNNNNNNNNNNNNNNNNNNNNNNNNNNNNNNNNNNNNNNNNNNNNNNNNNNNNNNNNNNNNNNNNNNNNNNNNNNNNNNNNNNNNNNNNNNNNNNNNNNNNNNNNNNNNNNNNNNNNNNNNNNNNNNNNNNNNNNNNNNNNNNNNNNNNNNNNNNNNNNNNNNNNNNNNNNNNNNNNNNNNNNNNNNNNNNNNNNNNNNNNNNNNNNNNNNNNNNNNNNNNNNNNNNNNNNNNNNNNNNNNNNNNNNNNNNNNNNNNNNNNNNNNNNNNNNNNNNNNNNNNNNNNNNNNNNNNNNNNNNNNNNNNNNNNNNNNNNNNNNNNNNNNNNNNNNNNNNNNNNNNNNNNNNNNNNNNNNNNNNNNNNNNNNNNNNNNNNNNNNNNNNNNNNNNNNNNNNNNNNNNNNNNNNNNNNNNNNNNNNNNNNNNNNNNNNNNNNNNNNNNNNNNNNNNNNNNNNNNNNNNNNNNNNNNNNNNNNNNNNNNNNNNNNNNNNNNNNNNNNNNNNNNNNNNNNNNNNNNNNNNNNNNNNNNNNNNNNNNNNNNNNNNNNNNNNNNNNNNNNNNNNNNNNNNNNNNNNNNNNNNNNNNNNNNNNNNNNNNNNNNNNNNNNNNNNNNNNNNNNNNNNNNNNNNNNNNNNNNNNNNNNNNNNNNNNNNNNNNNNNNNNNNNNNNNNNNNNNNNNNNNNNNNNNNNNNNNNNNNNNNNNNNNNNNNNNNNNNNNNNNNNNNNNNNNNNNNNNNNNNNNNNNNNNNNNNNNNNNNNNNNNNNNNNNNNNNNNNNNNNNNNNNNNNNNNNNNNNNNNNNNNNNNNNNNNNNNNNNNNNNNNNNNNNNNNNNNNNNNNNNNNNNNNNNNNNNNNNNNNNNNNNNNNNNNNNNNNNNNNNNNNNNNNNNNNNNNNNNNNNNNNNNNNNNNNNNNNNNNNNNNNNNNNNNNNNNNNNNNNNNNNNNNNNNNNNNNNNNNNNNNNNNNNNNNNNNNNNNNNNNNNNNNNNNNNNNNNNNNNNNNNNNNNNNNNNNNNNNNNNNNNNNNNNNNNNNNNNNNNNNNNNNNNNNNNNNNNNNNNNNNNNNNNNNNNNNNNNNNNNNNNNNNNNNNNNNNNNNNNNNNNNNNNNNNNNNNNNNNNNNNNNNNNNNNNNNNNNNNNNNNNNNNNNNNNNNNNNNNNNNNNNNNNNNNNNNNNNNNNNNNNNNNNNNNNNNNNNNNNNNNNNNNNNNNNNNNNNNNNNNNNNNNNNNNNNNNNNNNNNNNNNNNNNNNNNNNNNNNNNNNNNNNNNNNNNNNNNNNNNNNNNNNNNNNNNNNNNNNNNNNNNNNNNNNNNNNNNNNNNNNNNNNNNNNNNNNNNNNNNNNNNNNNNNNNNNNNNNNNNNNNNNNNNNNNNNNNNNNNNNNNNNNNNNNNNNNNNNNNNNNNNNNNNNNNNNNNNNNNNNNNNNNNNNNNNNNNNNNNNNNNNNNNNNNNNNNNNNNNNNNNNNNNNNNNNNNNNNNNNNNNNNNNNNNNNNNNNNNNNNNNNNNNNNNNNNNNNNNNNNNNNNNNNNNNNNNNNNNNNNNNNNNNNNNNNNNNNNNNNNNNNNNNNNNNNNNNNNNNNNNNNNNNNNNNNNNNNNNNNNNNNNNNNNNNNNNNNNNNNNNNNNNNNNNNNNNNNNNNNNNNNNNNNNNNNNNNNNNNNNNNNNNNNNNNNNNNNNNNNNNNNNNNNNNNNNNNNNNNNNNNNNNNNNNNNNNNNNNNNNNNNNNNNNNNNNNNNNNNNNNNNNNNNNNNNNNNNNNNNNNNNNNNNNNNNNNNNNNNNNNNNNNNNNNNNNNNNNNNNNNNNNNNNNNNNNNNNNNNNNNNNNNNNNNNNNNNNNNNNNNNNNNNNNNNNNNNNNNNNNNNNNNNNNNNNNNNNNNNNNNNNNNNNNNNNNNNNNNNNNNNNNNNNNNNNNNNNNNNNAAGGCAACCCACGAUGGAGUGAUACGGUUACCUUGGUCAUUGGCUAUGAUUUCAACAUGGCCAUUCUUAUAAACACCAACACAUGAAUAGGUCGUUCCAAGAUCAAUUCCAAUGACCGUCCCCAACUUGGUAGCUUCCUCCUUUGCAAUGGAAAUUGCAAAUAGACAUCCUGCAACGAAAUCUCUCCAAGUUAAUUACAAGGUAAACUUGAACUAGUUAAUUGAUGACAAACUGAACCGCGUGAAGUAAGCAUUCUCAGUCAUUCAUAACAAUAUAAAUAUUUUACAUUACAUACACAUUCACAACAAAUAAAAAAUUGGAUCAAAAAUCAGUAACUGAUUUCCUCAUCAAUAAGAUUACUUAAUUACUCUUACUAUCUUUAGUGAAGGAGGCAAGCCCUGUUCUGAAAGGAAUAAAUCAAUUAUCACAAAAGAAAAAAAAAAUCUGUAUUUUGCAUCAUUAAAAACAUAACUGGUAUUGAAUAAGAAUCAUGCAUCAUGAGAAAUCACGAGUAAUAUGCGAUCAAGGAUUCGAUUUAUUAUAUAUCUGAUUGAAAUUGCAUUACGAUACAAGAAAACCAAAUUAAUAAGCAUACACUGUAAUGAAUGUAAUAUCGCACGAAACAUGCGGGGAAAAAAAAGGUUUAUGCAGCAUCAUUAUUGCGAAAUUAAGGAAAUAAAAUAAAGGUAACAACAAUGACAAAAAUCAAAACUACGAGUAAUCAUUAUCAACACGUUUAUUAAACUUCACUGACUGUGACUAAUAACGUGCUUAAAGAGAAACUUAAAUGAUGAGAAUGUUUAGGAUCCCAUCAGAUCCAUGAAAAUAGGAAAUCCAAACAAACAAUCACAAAAAAGUUGAAAGAAAUCGCAGUGAGAAGGUUCUUGCUACAUCGAAAAGAGACAGAGAAAGCAACGAGAUCUGAUUGAUACCUAACGAAACAAUGGCAAGAGGAAGCAGAGACCCGCGUGAAAACGAGCGAGCCAUGGUGUCAAGUUUUCUUCUCUUUUCUCGAUGAAUCGCAGUUCGGUGAGUUCAGAACAGAGACCUUGUAAUAGCCCCGUUCAUUUAUAGAUCUCUUUGAAAAGUUGGAGCAUGUCACACGUGGUGACGUGGACCAAUUGCGAUUCCUGAAAGAAUGGUUUGGCCAAUAAAAAUGGUCCUUUUGCAUGGAAACACCUCACUAUUAUUUGAUUAGAAAAUUACAUACCAAAAUAAAUGUUUCUCUAUGUACAAAUAAAUAAAUCUAGUAAUAAAUUCACUUCUGUGAUUUAAGUGUUUUUUUUAUUAUUAACAUGUUCUUUUAUUUUCAAGCAUUUGUACUUUUUUUUAUUUAUUUCCACAUUUGAUUUUGAGGUAUUCAUUCUAACAUAGAUGAAGAGAAAAAUAGUUUUGCAAUUGAGUGGUGUAAAUUUUUUAAAAUAUGAAGCAAAAUACACAAAAAUUAAUAAAUAAUUAAAAUAUUAAAUGUGAGAAAAAAAAAACUUGUUUUCUUUGUUGAAAUAUCAAUACCAAUAAUAUAUUUGACUUGUUUAACCGAGUAUGAAAUCACUUUUAAAAGAUGCGUUAGAAAUUAUAAAUAUACAACAAUGUGAUAAAACAUAAAUAAAUAAUUUUUUCAAGAAUUCAACUAAAAUAUUAUAAUUUAUUAAGUAGACAAAUUCAUAAGAAGACAAAGCAGGAAUAAAUAUUCAAAUUAAUAAAAACAUUGUCCGAGAAAUUUCAUUACGUAUUUCAUAAAUUUUUAUUAUUUUUCUAGAUUUAUGAUUUAAAAAGUUUAACUUUUCUAGAAAUUUAAAUAUUUUGAAUUAUUACUUUUUUCUUAUUCUGAAAUGUUAUUUUAUUUUUAAUUAAAUAAUUUUUUGUUUUACAUUCUUUUUAUGGAUAGCGUAACCAUCAUUAUUUUUGUCUUUUCAUUUUGGAUUCAUCGCUAUAAUGUGGAUUAUAAAAAUCAAACCAAAGAAUAUUUAAAUAAAGAUUUAAUUAAAAUUAGUUGUAGAUAAAAUAAAACUCCAUUAAUUAAAUAUUUUAUUAAAUAUUUGAUAGACAAUACAUUGCAAGGAAAUGAAUUAUUUACUUAAAAAAAUUAAUCAGAAACUUUUAAACACGAUUUAGUACUGUUAAACAUGAUUAGUCUUUAAGUGAGUUGACUUGAAAACUGAGUUAUUGAAGUGCGUAACGUGCUAAGAGGGAAGCGAGACAAAAGAACCCGUCCAAGGGUCCAGGAGAGAACAACGAAUACGACGCAUAAUCUUCAAAGUAGCAUCGUGGAAUCGAAGCUAAGGUCUGAGCACACAUUACAAUUUAAAAAGCCCCUUGCGAAUAUUGUUGCAGUUGUAAUCUGCGGCAUUGAGGAACCCCAAAUUGCGAACCGAAAGCGAUGAGGCUCUUGAAGGUUGCCACAUGCAGUCUCAAUCAAUGGGCGAUGGAUUUCGAUUGCAACGCAAAGCUAAUCAAGGAGUCCAUUGCCAAGGCCAAGGAAGCCGGCGCCUCCAUUAGGCUCGGUCCAGAACUCGAGAUUCCUGGUUAUGGCUGCGAAGACCACUUCCUAGAACUCGACACAGUUAACCAUUCGUAUGUCUCUUUGUUUUUUUUUUUUUUCUCUCUAUGUGUGUGUUUCGCGUAGGAACAUGGUAGGUGUUUUGCAUUCUAAGGAAACUGUGAAUUGGCUUUGUUGCUUGCAGAUGGGAGUGUCUGAAAGAUUUGCUGCUUGGAGAUUGGACAGAUGGCAUUCUGUGUAGCUUCGGCAUGCCGGUUAUCAUAGGUCAGGAGCGCUACAACUGUCAGGUUUUCUGUUUGAAUCGGAAGAUUCUCAUGAUACGACCGAAGCUGUGUCUUGCAAAUGAUGGCAAUUAUAGAGAACUGCGAUGGUUCACGGCCUGGAAGCGAAGGGAUCAGCUUGUGGAUUUUCAGUUGCCCCUUGAAAUUUCUCAGGCUUUAGGCCAGAAAUCGGUUCCAUUCGGUUAUGGGUUCAUGAAGUUUCAAGACACGUAAGUUGUAAAUGUGUUUUACUUUAUUUAGUUUGAAUUUAAUAUCCGUGCACUCUACUGUUAUAUUGUUUUUUAAAGGUGGUUGUUUAAAAGUCUACAUUGGUCUGGUGAAACUGUAAACUCCCUUUUCAUUGUCAUUGUAUACACUAUUUACUCAUUUAGUUUUCUGUUUCAAUGUUAGUGUUACAUAGAAGUUGUGUCAUCAAUAUGGUGUGAGAUAGUUGAUAUAUAAUUUUAUCUCUUAAACACGGGUUCAGGGAUUUGAUCCUCAGUCUCGUAGGUAUAAAAAAACACGUAGGAAGAGGUUAAUCCCUUAAAUUAGUUUCUAUGCCUGGAGAAAUUAAUUUUUGUCUGUUGAAUCAGAGAUACCAUGGGUUCACCUAAAAAAGUUUUGUCCUUUCCACUUCCAGUAAAAUCACGUAUACGUUCCUAAGUUAUGGUAAAUUGUUGGUUAAUGAUAAGUCCUUUUCUCUUGACUGAGAGAUAACAUGGGUUCACCUAAAAAAGUUUUGUCCUUUCCACUUCCAGUAAAAUCACAUGUAUUUUCCUAAGUUAUGGUAAAUCGUUGGUUAAUGAUAAGUCCUGAAAUUAAAUAAAUCAUAGGUUUUAUUUACAUUGUGUGAGUACUUAGCAGAUUAUUACCAGAUACGGUUUAUCCUCGUGUUUUACGGCUGACAUACCCAUCAGCGUUGCAUUCAUGCACUGGUUAGUUGAUUUAUUUACCUUUCUAUUUUUUCAUGCACCUAAGAAUUAUUUGCGUGUUGCGUUUGCAAGCAUUUGAUUUGUUUAUUGAGUGGUUGCAAGUUUUAGUCAGAUUUAUCAAUUGCUAAAUAUGAAUCAUUUUCCCAUUCUUAGAGCUAUAGCUGCUGAAGUUUGUGAAGAGCUUUAUACUUCAGAUCCUCCUCAUUCUGAGCUUGCAUUGAACGGGGUUGAAGUGAUUAUGAAUGCAAGUGGAAGUCACCACCAACUCAGAAAGCUUGACUAUCGUGUUCAUACUCUUAUAGGCGCCACUCAUUCUCGGGGAGGGGUUUACAUGUAUAGUAACCAACAAGGCUGUGAUGGAAGUCGCCUUUACUACGGUAGAAAAACCUUUUGUCUUGAUAGAAUGAUAUUUGAACUUUUCACAUUUGUGCCCAUUGCAUAUCCUGGAAUUCCGUUGAGGACGUUAUAACUUCCAUUUAGCUUGUUCAGAUUUCAUUUUAUGUUGCUUUUUUUUGUUUCAUUUGUCUACAAUUUUCCAUCUUUGCAACAGAUGGAUGUGCAUGUGUUGUGGUUAAUGGAGAUGUUGUCGCUCAGGGUUCUCAAUUUUCUUUGAAGGAUGUUGAGGUUGUGGUUGCUCAGAUAGAUCUAGAUGUGGUAUGUAUUGCAUUAUAUUCCAUAUAUCAAUUUACACAAUCAUUAAGACUAUCAAUAACUGAUGUUGGAUUUGAUUCUUUUAGUCAUUUUGUCCAUUGGUGGUAGGUUGUGAGCCUUCGAGGAUCUUUAAGUAGCUUCCAAGAGCAAGCAAGUUAUAAAACUAAGGUUCCUUCAGUGGAAGUACCUUACAGUCUUUGUCUUCCUUUUAACCUUAAAAUAUGUGUUUCUCUUCCACUUAAGGUAAGUUUAUUUUCAUUUGGUAGCAAAUUUGAAGAUAGUCAAUAUUUGUAUCUUGGAUUCUUAUUUCACCACAUUAUUGCUGCAAUCACUCAGGCAUCCAAGCUGCUAAGUUGAUUUUGAUUUAUUCAUUAUAGAUAAAGUACCACACUCCUGAGGAGGAAAUAGCAUUUGGACCUGGUUGCUGGUUAUGGGACUACUUAAGAAGAAGUGGAGCAUCUGGUUUUCUGCUUCCACUUUCUGGUGGAGCAGACAGUUCCUCAGUUGCUGCAAUUGUUGGAUGCAUGUGCCAGCUGGUUGUGAAAGGUAAGUUCAAGUGCAAUAAGAAGUGUGGUUAGAUUCAUGUGUACUUUCUAUUUCAGAUACUUGUGACAGUACUUUCUAUUCAAUUUAUGAUCCUGCUUUAAAUACAGAAAUGCUUAAAGUGUGAUCACUAAUCUAGCUUAUGAUAAGCAUGAAUUGUAUAAAGAUCUAAGGGAAGGAUAGAGAGGUAAUAUAUAUUUGAUUGGCAGCUGAACUAGCUGAAAAAGCAGAGUUGAGUAUUCAUUGUUCCAUCAAAUAUGGUGGACCAUAAUAAGAUUGAGAAAGACAAAUGCCUCCCGUUUAUUUUUCAUUUUCACAUUUUCACGUGGCAAAGGUGGAAAAGACAAUGACAUUUGUAGUUUGGAUAUGAGUGGAUCAUGGGUAUUUGCCUGCAGAAAUUGCAAAUGGGGAUGAGCAAGUUAAAGCUGAUGCAAUACGAAUAGGAAACUAUAAGGAUGGUCAGUAUCCUAUAGACAGCAGAGAAUUUGCUAAAAGAAUAUUCUAUACCGUGUUUAUGGGAUCUGAAAACAGGUAAGUGAUAAAUUUCCAUCCCGGUCUUAUUGUUAUUUAGCUGUAUCUCCAUAAGUUUAUAUCUGCUACAUUCCAUUGAUAUUCCAUCCACAUUUGUGUAAGAGGAGUCCCUCAUUUACACACACACACGCAUACAUAUAUAUAUAUAUAUAUAUAUAUAUAUAUGUAUGUAUGUAUGUGUGUGUGUGUGUGUGUGUGUUUUGGACCAUUGGAUAUGAUUUUGGUUCUAAUUUAUUUUCACUCCAUUGUGUUUCCAAAUCCCCAUUAAACUUACAUAUUGGUGGUUUUGAACGAAGUUGAUUAUUUUGCCAUUAAAACAUAACGAUGAUAUAACAUAAGCUUGACCAGUAUGCUCAUUUUUUUAUCUGCAAUAACAAAUUUAAUUAAUAAGGCAAUUGGGUUGCCUCAACCCAUGUACAAAAGAGAAAGAAACGGAAAAAGAAAAGAAAAAAAGCAAACCCAAACCCCAUAAUCUCUCCUUAAAACCACAUGAGAUUGUGCCAAAACAUCAAAAACAUGAACAAACCCUUUUCCCUUAUACAUGUCCAGACACAAAGAAGUGUUAUGUAAACCCAUUCAAGAAAGCUGCACUGAUGCGUUGUUGUUGAAAGUAUUGUGUUCUUAGUCAUAUGCAGUUGUAGUUCUCCCUCCAAGCUUUCAACAUUCCACUUCCAAAUUUCCAAUUUAAAGCUCUUGCAUAAUACCUCAUGCAAAAUUGUAAACAACACCCACAAAAUAGAAAAGUUUUGACUUUUGGUUCCUAAGAUCAUACCCCCAACAUAAAUACUGGAAGACUAAAGCCCUUGAGUACUGGCAUUCGUUUUUCACUUUGCCUGUACUGAGAAAUCAUUCCAUUGCAUGAACCAGCUUAUAUCACUCAGAUGUGAUGGAUGACUAAAAUUUAUUCUGUUUCAGUUCAGAAAUGACAAAGUCCCGAGCAAAGGUGCUGGCUGAUGAAAUAGGUUCGUGGCAUCUUGAUGUUAGCAUUGAUGUCGUUGUGUCUGCUUUUUUGUCAUUAUUCCAGACACUUACAGGAAAACGACCACAGUACAAGGUAAAUGAAGCAUGAACAAGUUCUCUCAAUCAUAAAUGACUGCUAGAACUUGUAAUCUAUGAAGUUGUCACUCACGUUAUGUUUGUCCAGAAAAGCAUGUUCAUAUUUGUAAUGUAUCUCCAUAUCAGGAUGCCAGGGUAUUAAAGUAUUUGCAUAACAUCUUUGUGGGGAAUCUCACUUUUCUAUUAAAGAUUGAGGCAUUUUAUAUAAUUUUUGUUUCUAUUUUAUGGAAGCCUCAUUUUUUUUUUUAUGAUUUUGUUUCUACAGGUUGAUGGCGGAUCCAAUAUUGAGAAUUUAAGCUUGCAAAACAUUCAGGCUCGAAUCAGAAUGGUGCUAGCUUUCAUGUUAGCUUCACUCUUGCCUUGGGUUCAUGGCAAACCUGGAUUUUACCUUGUCUUGGGAAGCUCUAAUGUGGAUGAAGGGUUACGUGGUUACUUGACCAAGGUACUUCUAUUUAGCUUUGGAUUAAACCUUUCUUUAUUAGAGAUAGUUUGGUUGAAGAAAAUGUCUUUCUUCUAUUUUUUUUUACCCUACUUACAAAAUUUCAAUUUUAUUUUUUUUUACUUUUUUUCCCAAUUACAUAGAUCUAUACAAAAAAAUUAUAGUAACACUUGAAUCUUUGAAAACAGGGGACUGAGUUGAUUUUGUAUUCAUUCAUAAAAUAUUUUCUUAAAAUAGACCCUUUGUGUCUCAAUUUUUUCCCCACUUUCUAUUAUAUGUGGUUCGUUUCACCAUUUUGCUCACAGCUUAUAUCUUUUUACAGUAUGAUUGCAGCUCAGCAGAUAUUAAUCCUAUUGGUAGUAUAAGUAAGCAGGACCUUCGGGCAUUCCUGCGAUGGGCUGCCAUCCACCUCGGUUACCCAUCUUUGAAAGAUAUUGAAGCAGCUCCACCCACAGCCGAACUAGAACCUCAACGUUCUAAUUACAGUCAGGUAGUAUUCUGUUUUGUCACACCAUUUAUGACUAAUCUGGAAUCUCACUUCGAUUUUGAUUGUGUUGCUUAAAUUGCAAGUGCAUAUACAUGUAAUGUACCUUUUUUGGUGUAUGUGUAUGCUUACGUAGGAAUUUUGCUUAAAGUGGACCAGAGGGUAACGAUAACAACACAGAAUUCAAUUUUUUUGUUUUUUUGCACGAGAGUGAGUCAUUAUUGUCAACAAUACGCCUGACAGGUCAAAAGACAAUUUAAUUGCAGCAACCUCAGAUCAUAAUGAUUCUGUGCAAAUAUUUUGACUUUAUAUAAGUUGGCCGUUAGAUUUUUCGUUUAAGAAAGUGGAAUAUAAAUCUAAUCUAACAAUACAAAACUAACUUAUAAGAUGUAUAGAUCCAAUUAUAUAUUAUGAUUUAAUCUUAUCAGUAGUCGAUUUGAACUUUUCGACACACCCUCUCAAGACAUCUUGAGUGUGGGACUGGAGAAAAACCAGACAGCGAGUGACACAAGACCUAACAAACUUAACUAGGAUAAUUUUUAAAUGACUGUAAUACCAUCUUAAGAAAGUAUAAUUUAAGUCCAAUUCAACCUUAUAAAACAGAUUUAUAAGGUGCAGUUUAAAUUCAUUUAUGAUUUGAUAUUAUUUCCAGUACAUAUAGGUUUUUCAGCAAUUUGUUUGUACAGCAGAAUCGUGUUGUAGAGCCUCAUAAAUGCAAAAGAAACAAUAUAGAAUUCCAGUGUCCAACUCUUGAUCUAAUCACCAAUGAAAAUCUGUGUUAAGCCUGUAUAAAAAAAGGAAGAAAAUAAAGAAAUUAACUGUUUUUUUGGAAAUACAAUAAUGUACAACCUAGAAUUGGACCUGCAAGGCAGAGUACUCGAGUAAAGCCUUAAAUUAGUUCUUGAGUUUGUACGAGCUGGGCAUUUUAGUCCCUGAAAGUUUACAAACCUUUUACAAGUUCCAAAUUUGCCAAAUUUUGUCCUUUCUGGUGGAAAAUGACUACGAAAUAAGGGGGGAAGAUGUCUAAAAUGAAUUGUUUCUUACAAAGUCAUUUUUCAAGGACUAAAAUGGCCAACGCAUAUAAUCUCAAGGAAUAACUUGAAGGUUUAUUACGUAAUACUUAGAAAAGCGAAUGGGGGUAAUAUGUAAACGAGGAUAUGGCUGCUUUUCUGGUCAGGCACAAGAUCUUCUGUUCAUUUCUCUUUUAAUGAGUAAAUUGUUUUUCUGUUAUUAUCUGUAAUAAAAAAUUAGUGAAUUUUUUUUUUUCAAAAUAUUAGCGAAAUUAACAUUAAGGAAAUGUUAAAGCCUUAAAACAGGGCAAGAGAAAGUCUUGGGUAUUUGACUUCAGCAGUGCUCUAUUAGUUUUUGCUUAUAUUUGAAUCUUUUGAUGUACUUGGUUUUUUAUCUAUAUGCAUUAGUAAAUUGUUUAUGGUCAACUUUUAAACAUAUGUACUCAGAUACUUCAUUCUUUGUUGAACAGCUUGAUGAAGUUGAUAUGGGAAUGACUUACGAGGAACUAUCAGUUUAUGGAAGACUACGGAAAAUUUUCCGUUGUGGUCCAGUUUCCAUGUUCCAGGUUUAUCUCAUGCUUCCCCUUUCUGUCCUAAUUAAGUCUUUAACCUUUCACAUUUUUUUCUGUCAUAUGAUAGUGGUUGAACAGAAUAAGACAAAUGGGUGGUAGUAGGAUGCUUAACCAUCCUGUAAUGUAAAUACCUGUUGGGAAUAUCAGAGCCAAGAAAAGUUAAACCCUACUAGCUGUAGACCUAGAGCUAAUUUCACAAGUCAUUAGAUAGUGCAAUUAGUUUCGUUAUUCUACAAGGCCAACCUAAACUAUUUUGUGAUUGCUAACUUUUUGACUUGGAUAUGUUCCUUUGGAGGGGAAGACUCUAACUUUUGUUGUCAUACCUUAAACUGUACUUGAAUCAAAGUAUAAUGCAGGAUCUUGUCUUUAAGCGACCUAACGUAAACACUGAUUUUACUAAACUCAGACGAUUUCUUGAUGUGAACUUUUAUUCGCAAAAACUUUCAGGAAACGAAUAAAAUCAAAGUAGUCGAUAAUCUAAUAGACUCUUCCAAACAGGCAAAUUGUUUCUCUCGAAUGACAGUGCAGUUAAUAUCAGCUUUUGAUGAUUCCAGCUCUUUAAUAGCCUUUUUACAAAUUUCACGUGGUUGUAGUAAUUAAAAAGAAUCUGUCUAUAACCAAAGAUCAAAGCAUAGCAUGGUUUGCUACUUUGCUUUAGGAGGGCAAAUAAUGAAAAACCAAAAAACAAUGCACGAUAUUUAAGUUAAAGAAUUGCCAGAAGAAAUCUAUUCCAUGUAUCUCAGUCCUUCUUGACUGAUUUCUAAACUACCACGUUUUCAAAACCUUACCAGAAAGAAUAAUUACUGUACUUGAUAUUGUGAACUCAAGCGAAAUAAAGUUUUGGCAUCCAAAGCUAGCAGUCUGAGUGAAUUUUGCAGUUUAUAUUUUGUCUAAUUUUACUUGCCAAUCAUAACUUGUUUUGUAAUUUACUGUGGUAGAAUCUAUGCUACAGAUGGGGUGCAAAAUUGACUCCAUCACAAGUAGCUGAAAAAGUAAAAUACUUCUUCAAGUAUUAUUCUAUCAAUCGACACAAAAUGACUGUCUUGACACCUUCCUACCAUGCUGAGGUAUGUAGUUGUUAUCACUUCAAAUCAGGAUAGCUCUCCGGUGUUCCCAUCAUUUUGGCUUAUUCUUACAUCUUUUCUUGGCUAAUGAGAGUUAAUCUUUCAAUCAACUUGCAGAGUUAUUCACCAGAGGAUAAUAGGUUUGAUCUUCGCCAGUUUCUGUACAAUGCAAGAUGGCCAUAUCAAUUUAGGAAAAUUGAUGAACUUGUGAGUGAAUUGGAUGCUCAAGAUGUUAAAGAUUAUGCAGCCAAUGACACAAUGGCAGCUACAUCACAUGGUGUUAGUGGGAUGGGAGUCGCUGCAGCUGGUUCUGGAAAUCCUAAAGCUGGAUUCUAAUCAUAUUCAACCCCUCCCUCUAAAGAAAUAAAUAUAUAAAUUAUAGAUUUCCACAAGGAGGAUUGGUGAAAUUCAUUUUACAUUUUCAAUUUAGCUUUAUUCUGUUAGUGUAAAAAUAUUUUUAAUUAGUAAUCAUGUUUCCUCACCUAAUAGAGGAAAAUAAUGAUUAAUGAGAAGAAUAAGAUUUAUUACAAAAUUUUGAUUAUCUCUAUCUCUAAUGUAACCCAAUAAAGUCUAAAGUCAAUAUCCGGUUUGUUUAUACUAAAAAAUGUAAGAAGAAAUAUGUGAUUAAGUUAUGCUCAUGUCUCUACAGAACAAUUCUACAUUAGGUAUUUCAUGUUUAAGAACUUUUAACAAACAUUCUUGUAAUCUUGUAAGUAUUGCUAUAAGAUGCUAAUUUCUAGUUUCUUUGUCUUCAAUUCUAUCAUUAAAAUAAAUGUUUUCUCAUAAGUAUUUAUUUCUAAAUCCCUAAGUCGCCUCUGAAAGGAGGGGUAAAAUAUUGGAACACAAAUUUUGUGAAAUUGUGGUAAAAAUCAACAAACACAAUCAAGAUCUAGAGAAGUAAAUUUUGAUGUGUAUAAAAAUGUAAAAUUUGUCCCUCAAAAACAUUAAUCGAUUAAUUUUAUAACAAUAGAUCCUUUGCUUCUACUAUUUGAAUCUCGUUAUGGACUCCACGGAACAUACUCUAAUAACAUGUUUGAUGCGCAAGUAAAACUGACGUCCAAUUUCCUUACAUGGCUAUUGGUUGAUCCACGUUUUUUGGUUCUAGGCUGAAUCUAACACGCACUAAUAUAUUUGACAAAAUCAAUUUAUUGUCUUGUAAAAUAAUCGACAACGACGUAUUAAUAGAGUUAAAAGUAAACAUACAAAAAGCCUGGAAGAAAGUACUAGACACCAAAUCUACAUUUCAUUUUCUGACCCUACUCAUUAAUACUACCCUUUGUCCAUGUUCGAGGAAAAGAUUCAAUGAGAAAUUCAAGAACCAAUACAGGUUUGAAAGUCGCUAGCUUCCAUAAAAUGCCAUCAAUAAUAUUUUAAAAAUAUUACCUGCUCUAAUUAAGAAUUAUUAUAAUUAUUAAGAUUACUUCAAACCAAAAACUGAGUGUUAGCACUGGAACCCUUUGUUGUAAAAAACGCGACACAGGAACGUAACAAAAGCAAACAGAAAGACCGACCAGAACGAAGCAUACUGAUACAGCUGAAAAAGAUUCGUCGUAAAAACUAGUUAAAAAAAAGGAAAAUACAAGUAAUUUCACAGGUAUCUUAUCAUCGCCACCAAAAAAGCAAGCGCAGGGGAAUUUCUUAAUUCCCAGCUUUAAUAAAAAUUAACAGACUCCGACUAAUCUAUUGUUUCUCAUCAUAUCUAAAGCAUAACAAACAUUUCUAGAGCUCGUCGUGAGAGUCGUCCUCGUCCUCGCCUGAUUCACCACCACCUGGGGCUCCUCCUGAUCUUUGAUACACAGCACUGAUGAUUGGAUUGCAAACGGCUUCCACCUCCUUAAGCUUCUCCUCAUAUUCUUCUUUCUCAACACUCUGGUUGUCAUCAAGCCAUUCCAAUGCUUCCUUCACUGCNNNNN